This 78364-nucleotide long non-coding RNA is filed under the name Citrus sinensis (sweet orange). RNAcentral describes it as "long non-coding RNA (CSIN_LNC003708)". The record is from RNAcentral. Lineage: Eukaryota; Viridiplantae; Streptophyta; Magnoliopsida; Sapindales; Rutaceae.
UUUCUUUUUUUCUUUUUUCUUUUUGUUUCUGUUUCUGUUUCUUUGCUUUGGUGUAAGUGAAAGAAUUCUUUAGAAUUUAUAAUUUUUCAAGAUAUAUAGUCGAAGAAAAAAGGUGAUGGUGAAUUUGUGAGAUGUUGCAUAAUGAUAGUUGUUUCUAUAUAAUUUGACCCAAGUGCAAGUAGGGUAAUGGUAGUAAUUUUUUUAAUUUUUUUAUGCGGAGGGAUGGUCGUUUAAAGUUGGAAAAUUUUGGUGCUUUUCGAAUACUAUUUCUUUCCAUUUCUUGCUUGCAAUUGUCAAGUUGGUUUGAGUUAAUUAAUGUUAUAGACUUAUAGUCAUUGAACAGUUCAAAAGAAAAAGUUAUAGUCAUUCUACCUGUACUGUAAGUUCACGCAAUAGGGUCAUGGCACUAUUUCACGAAUGUUACAGUCAUUGUACGGCAAGUUAAGUCAAUUAUUUAGUUAAUUAAACAAUACGCUCUUUGGGAAAAGUUGACGCAAUAAAGGGUGAUAGUUUUAAGUCAAUUAUUGAUUUGUUUAGACAUUAAUUUUGAUAAAUGGGUCAUUAAUAUAUGAUCAAAUGAGGUUGAUAAUGGAACCCAGUUAUUAAAGAAAGCUGGCCUUCACCCAGAGAACAAAUUGCAGGACAUUUAAAGGAGGCCCUGCUGCUGCAGUUUUAUUGUGCUCGUCACGUCUCGCGGGCGUUGGCCACUUUUAACUACGCAUUCAGUUCAAAGACAAGUAUAAUGGAGAGAGCCUGAGCAGUCCUUUUUAAAUAUUGUCGCCAUUAUCAAAUUCCACCAAAAUUCAAUAAUAGAUAAUCACAUUUGGUGUCUUUCUGGCCGUUGAGCAUAGUUUUAAUGGUGAAAGGCCUGUUAAUAUUUUGGUUGUUGAGUGUUUGAUCAAAGUUCUGAGAGAGCCAUUCUGAUUUGAGUUGUCACACGCGCGCGCACACACACACACACAUAGGGCAGUGAAAAGAAAUGUCGACAUCUUUGCUAGCUGUUGUUGCCAGAGAAAUAGGCAGCCAGCCACCGUUGAAAGUGGCUUCCAUUUCAUAUCAUGGUAGAUUAUUGACUUUGCCUUUGCCUGUUUGGCAUUGGCAUUUGCCUCAUAAAACCACUUCGAGACAUUUGAUGGCAACACGACGUUGAACCCAAAAAGAAAAUUUUCUUAAUUUUCAUGAACACCUGAUGGAGUAAAUUUCUUAAUUACACCAAACAGGCAUAAUUUAUUAGGAUCCGGCAAUCUAAUCGACAAAGCUCACAAUUUUGCGACCACAUCAAUUGUGUUUGGCCCAAUUUUUUACAUUAAGAACCCAAAUGUGUUUAAGAGUAGAUGGUAAUUUGGCGUUAUCUCUGUGUUUGUUGAGCAGAAGGAAAAAAUGGGUGACGUUAGUUUCUUGCAACUCAUAAUAUUCACCCGGGUCACAUUAGCUAUGGUACAAAGAACAAGUUGACAUAAAUUAAUUCGGCAAAUAGCUCGUUUUCAAUUUUUUGAAGAAACAAAAAUAUUCUGUCCCGAUGAGUUUUGUAGUGGGGUCGAUUAAAACAGAGAUUUGUCCUUGGAAUUUUGCUUGUGUGAUUGUCAAUGUAUAGCAAAUUUGGGAACAUUGCAACAAAUUUCCGAAGCUGCCAUCCAGCUCGCUGUUUGGUUCCCGCAUCAGUUGCAGCGCCAAAAAGUUGCCUGCUCGUGUUAGCUCAAUAAGGCAAUUGAUGAAACACCGAGCAUCAAUUAUAAGCAAAAUAUUUGGGACAUUUGUUUUUGAUGGUUCUGCAAUGGCAGGCAAAAAUAGGGUGGGAGCUAGUUGGUCGGUUUUGACGUUAGUUCAACAGUUUGUCGCAACAAAUUUUCAUUUUUUUGUUUGGGCUUGAAUUUCAUACUCUCUUCUGUAAGCUCAGUUGGGUUAAUAAUCACAGCCCAAUGUAGUGAAUUGGGUUCCUUUAAAUUAGAUUUUGGGCUUGCCAUAUUAUUGGCCCACAAUCUCCUACUAGAUUCUUCCAGAUGCCCGUUUUGUCUCUGUACCCCGCGUGUCUCACGUACGCGUACACUUUGCUUCGUGGAAUUGGUUGUUUGGUCAUCUACGUUGAAGCUCCAAGUACGGAUAGCGUAGCGUUGCAGCCCCAAUUGGGGAUAGCAACAGAUAUUGUGUGAGAUGCCAACACUUGUAUCCGUAUUUGGUAAAGGAUAUUUCCGUCCCCAAUCUUUAUUUAUUGUUGGCUUGAAUGGGUAUGGGUUAGAAAUUUCCCAAUAAAAUUAAAAAUAUUCAUCCGUUCUCUAAUCCUCUAUAUCUCCUUUUACUUUUUAACAUCUGUAUAUAUAUAUAUUUUAAAUAUAAUUAUUUAGUUAUGAAAUUAGUUAAAUAUAAUUAAACAGUAAAAGAUUAUGAUUCUCUCAUGAUCUAAUCAUGUUCUGAGCAAAUAAUUAUUAUGAAAUUAGUUAAACAAACUUUUUAGUUUUCUUUAAAUAUAAUUAUUUAGUUAUGAAUAUAAUUAUUUAGGGAUGAAUAUUUUUUAAAUAUAAUUAUUAAAAAUAAUUAUUUAACUCAUGCGUGCAAGUUGCCUCAAUGUUUAAUUUUAAUCAAUUUAUUACUAAAUAUAUGAAUUGAAAAAAAAAGAGUCUCUAGUUGGCAUUUCCUUGUCCAUCCUUCACUCCUUUCAAUUGGUCCUAAUUUGAAUAUUAUUCUAUUGUCAUUUGUUUUCGAUUAGGACAAAUUUUAGACGGUCCAGUAAAUGUCUAGUUCAUUUAACGGCUAAUCUUUAAGUAAAUGUCUAAAAAAAUAUCAUUUUAAAUAUUUGUUUUAAUUUCUCAGCUGCUAAGUGCUAAUGUUUUUGUUUUAGGAUUUUAACUUUUUACUUUAAUAUUUAUUUGACUUAGCUAUUAAUUUUAGCUCUUAAAAAAUUAAAAGAAUAAUAAAUAGUCACUAGUCAAAUGGGUUUAGUGAGUAGGUAAGGAUAUUAGUGUUAUUAUACUUGUACUCAACCUUUCUAAUUAAUAAAUAUAAUUUUUUUUUUGUGUAAGUCAUUCGGUAUCUGGCGAUCGCAUUGGAUCUCGACUAAUUCGAAUUCGGGGUAUAGUCAUAGUUAAGACUCUUUAUCCCUCCUAAAUGACGUGUUUAGCGGAGAUUGAACUCGAGAGCUCUUCUUACAAACUUAGCAUGUGCUGCCAAUUGAGCCACAACUAUUUAGUAAUAAAUAUAAAUUUUUAAAUCUGUAUACAAUCUUUUUUUUGUGGAAGAAAGAUAAAAUUAAAGCAAGUACACUGAUCUUAGCAUGACGGACCCCACAAAAUUCCUACUCACUAGGAUUCUUCGCCAUCCCUAGCUAGAAGCUUCCCCUUGGGCUUCUUCGCACCUCAAAAGUCCAUAUCAAAUGGGGUUUUCACUUUUCAAUUCAUAUAUAUGUGAGUGUGUAGGUUUUUUUUUUUUUUUAAAAAAAAAUUUUAUUACAUGCUUAUUUGUUUAUGAAAUCAAUGCAUUUAUAAUUAUACCAAAAGGAGGCUGUAUUUCCCAACUUUCUUAUUAUAAGUGGGCGGCCAGGGACCUCUAGAAUACAGCAAGAAACAAAAAUAAGAAACUGCCAGUUCUCUUAAAAUAGAUAAGAAUGUUUGGCGUCGAGCCAAAAUUUUUUUAUUUAAAGGUUGAUCUCAUUCUUUAUUCACACCCAUGAAAGGUUCAAGCUUAUUUUCAUGGUCUCACGUAAUCGUCAUUUCAAUUUGCAUAUCCAUUAGAAAUGAUAUAAUCAAUGCGCUUCAAUGUCAAAAAUAAAAUAAAAUCAAAUCAAAACCGAUAUGGUAAUUGAUGUGUUUGAUUUUUUUUUGGUUUGAUAUGGUUUAUUGUUGUGCAUGCUUAAUUAAAUGACACAUAAAUAAAAAAAUAUAUUUUAAUAGUACUACUUAUUCGAUAAGAUUUAUACUAAAUUAAUGUACAAAAUAUGUUUUCAAUUUGACACGAUUUACUUCAAUGCAUACUUAAAGCAUCCCAUAGGCAGAAAAUAUUUAUUUUACAUAUAUAUUUUUAAACAAUUCAUACAAAAAGAGAUUUUUUUUAAAAAAAAUUUAUAUUCCAAACAUUACAAUUGGGGAUUGGGAAAACUUAAAAUGCUUAUGAUUAUAACAAUAUAACGGGACAUUGGUACCUUUAGUUAUAUAGCCUGUAGAUCCACUAAACAAAACUCGAAAAUUUACAUAUAAUACGUGCAAAUUUGUCCGUGCAUAUAAAUGUAUAUUUAAAGUACAGAAUGAGCCCCUUGAUCGUUACCCUUGAUUUUACCCCCUCCCCCACCCAAACAAAAAAAAGAGAAAAUUAAGAAACAAAAAAAAAAAAAAGGAAAAAAAUCUUAUCCAAUUUGGGAAAUUGCGUCGCCCAAAAAUCAAAAUCACACUCCAUUGAUUAACCUACAUUAUCCAAAACUUGCGUCUUGGGUUUAAUGCUCCAUGCUCCACUAAUAUGCCAACAGCAGUCCCCCGUCUAACCGACCAUCAGUUUACUCGUAACGGUGACAGCCUCUCCGCGUAUAACCGACUUAACUAACCUUGAUCGUUACAGCCAAUCACAUGCUUCCACGUAGUGGAAUGUUUCUUCUUACUAAAACGUUUGACUAUUGGGCCCCACGUUAAUUACUUAGAUUAGAUGUCAGAAAACUAAAACCCCUUUUGAAUCUGUUGGGAUUCAAUGGACCCCACGUAAGUGAUCCAUAAGCCAAAUCCGUUUGAAUGAUGCAUUCAAGUUACCAAUAUACGCUUAAUUAAAUCAGACGGUGUAGAUUAGUUGAUGGGUGGUCAAAGCAUGGAAUUUUAGAAUAUUAUACUAGGAUUCUUCGCUAGUCAGAAUCACAAGUUUCUACUUCACAUUAUCUGUUGCCUUUUCAAGCUCGAAUCAAGAAUUAACACUUUCUCAAAGCCCAUGAGAGUUGCAAUCUUCAAUUCAUCACAAAACUAGCAAUAAGCUUAAGCUAAUUAUUGGCUAAAUUACAGAAGCGGCCUAAAAAUUAUUCCUAAUUUGUAGACUAUUUCUGAAAAUUUCCCCAAUCCUUUUGGCAUCAAAAGACAUAGAUCACCUCAUCAGUACGUGUCACAUGAUAAUACCUCGGACCCACAUCUCGAUUGUUCUAUAGAAGUGGGUCCAUUGAUCAAAACCCACAUGAUUUAAUCAACUGGGUCUGAGCACAUACACUCUAGGCCUGCUGAUAUCUCUAUAUAUUCACCAGCUCCUCCUCUUCUUGUUUCCUCAUUCAAAGCCAAAAGUCUUUUCAUUGAAAUUGUAUUUCUGUCUCUCAUAUUCGUCUUUGUUUCUAGUAUCUUGUUGCUUCAUCAUAAUGUCUCCUCCUAACUUUGUCUCUCAGAGAGUUGGAAAUAAGCCUACAAGCAACAACACUUUCAAUACUUCAAGAUUCUCAUUAUGCAAUAGAAACAUCUCCGUUGAUGGCAUUACUCUUCUUUCUGAAGUCCCCGUGAACGUAGCUCUAUCACCUUUCUCUUCACUUCCUCAUAGCUCAGACACCGACUCCAUUCCUCCUCAUAUACUCAAAUCUGUCGCUUCCAAAUCCAAAAACGGCGCCUUUCUCGGCUUGUCCGUGAAGCAAGCUCAAGACAGAAUCUUGAACCCCAUAGGCAAACUCCUUAACAGGAAGUUUUUGAGCCUCUUUCGGUUCAAAACUUGGUGGUCAACUAUGUGGGUUGGUUCAAGUGGCUCUGAUUUGCAAAUGGAGACUCAGCUGAUCCUCUUGCAACUCCCUGAACUUAACUCAUUUGCUGUACUAAUCCCUCUAAUAGAAGGCAAUUUUCGCUCGGCAAUUCACCCUGGUGCCUCUCACGGUGACGUUGUACUCUGUGUUGAGAGUGGCUCAACAAAAGUGAGGGGCCAAAAAUUCUCUUCUUGUGCUUAUUUGCAUGUUGGUGACAAUCCUUAUGAGCUCAUGAGAGAUGCCUUCGCCGCUGUUCGCGUUUAUCUGGGGACUUUUAGGCUCUUGGAAGAGAAAACUGUGCCCAAAAUUGUUGACAAGUUUGGUUGGUGCUCUUGGGAUGCUUUCUAUUUGACUGUUGAGCCUGUUGGGUUGUGGCACGGUGUUAAAAGCUUUGCUGAAAAUGGGCUGCCACCAAGGUUUUUGAUCAUUGAUGAUGGCUGGCAAAGCAUUAACAUGGAUCAUGAACCAGCGUUACAGGAUUCUAAAGAUUUGACAACUUUAGGGUCUCAAAUGCUUUGCAGACUCUAUAGGUUGAAGGAGAAUGAGAAGUUUGCCAAGUACAAAUCGGGCACCAUGUUGAGACCAAAUGCGCCGAAAUUUGAUCAAGAGAAGCAUGACGCGAUGUUCAAAGAAAUGGUUGCCUUAGCAGAGAAGAAAAGGAAGAUUAAGGAAGAAGGAGGUGAUGUCUUAGCUCUCCCUUCGCCAAAAACUAUUGAGUAUCUGAACGAUGAUGAAGAUGAUGGUCAAGAGAGAGGGGGGUUGAUGGCUUUGGUGAGUGAUUUGAAGGAAAAAUAUCAAACACUUGAUGAUGUAUAUGUGUGGCAUGCUUUGUGUGGUGCUUGGGGAGGUGUUAGGCCUGGGACAAUUGCUGGGCUGGAGGCUAAGGUCACUAGUGCUAAGUUGGCUGCUGGGUUGCAAAAUACAAUGAACGAUUUGGCUGUUGACAUGAUAAUUGAAGGAGGGCUUGGGCUUGUAAAUCCAAAUCAAGCUGCUGAUUUGUAUGAAGCUAUGCAUUCAUACCUUGCUGAUGUUGGUAUCUCUGGUGUUAAAGUUGACGUUAUUCAUGUAAGUUUUUUUACCAAUUAUUACCAUUGAUUUGCUUUUGUUUUGGUUUGUUUAAUUCACGACACAAACACGAGCAUCAUUAGCAUCAAUCAUAAUCAUUAUGAACCAUAUUACUGUAUGUUGGUAUCUAGAACUAUAGGCUAUGUAUUUUGUGGGUAUUAUUUGCAUAAAUGGAUUAGCUUCAAAUUUGUUUUUCCUUGCAUGGGUUUGUCUUCCACUAUUCAAGAUGAAGUCUUAAAGCUAUAUUAAUUACUAAUUUAAUUAAAAAAAUCUCUUUAAAGUUACUUUUAUUAUUUUUCCCCCCAAAAGUCAUCAUUAUCAAUAUGUUCAUGGUCUCCUAACUGCCAUAAUCUUAUCACGCUCAUACUGUUGGCAUCAUCACCAUCAUGAUCAAUUUAUCAUGCAUGCUCUUUAUUAUAAUAAAAGCAUUUGGUUUUGCCUAUGCUGAACUUGUAAAAUCAUCAAUAAUAUAUGAUUGGACAGAGGAUGGGAUGCAUGUUUUUCUUAUGUACUGCAGAAAUUUUCAUCAGGUGAGCACCAUUUCUCUCUAGCAAGCAUUUUUGGGCAUUCCAAAAAUAUUACUAAAGGCUGGAGAUUAGCAAUUAGAGAAGUUUUUCUUAAUUUCCCGAAAGAUUGAACUGAUUUUGAAUGGUCUGUAACUUAUUUCCCUGUGAACCUUUUACUGAAACGAAAAAUUGUUUAUAGAGGGAAAAGAUCAUUCAAUCGGUUCAGUCUAUAAAAUCUGUCAUGAAGAUGUUAAUUCUUUUGACAGGAUGUGUAAUCUCCAUCGGACAGACGAAUCCAGGAAGUCACACCAGAAACACAAGGGAGCCAACUUUAUGACAAAAUUGAAAAAAAAAAAAAAAUCAAAAUUUUGGUCUUAUCUUAUGUAUGCAAAGGGAGCCAACUUUAUGACAAAAUUGAAUCCAGGAAGUCACACCAGAAACACAAGGGAGCCAACUUUAUGACAAAAUUGAAAAAAAAAAAAAAAUCAAAAUUUUGGUCUUAUCUUAUGUAUGCAUAUGUUCUCGUACUCUGCUAAUCUUUUUAACUGCAGCUGAUUUAAACUUAAACAAAGUAAUACGUUUAAUAAAGUCCUUUUCAUUUAGCUUUUUCAGGAUAGGAUUGUGGUUGUGCCACGCAUUGCAAUGUUGCAAAAUUUGGAUUGAAGAACCCAUUUAUAGAAAUAAACUGUAAAUUAUAAUCUCUUCACCAAUUUCACCAAAGCUAGCUUAGAAACUGUCAGGCUCUAGCUAUGAUUGUUCAAAAUUGGUCUAUAGUAUUUUUGAAGCAUAGAGGCUUUGGCGAACCUUGUUUCACAUUACAUUUCUUGGAAAAAUUAUAGGAUAAAAAAUGAAAAUGAAGGCAUCAUUAUUUGUUAACAUUCUUUCUCUUCUUCUGAUGAUGUCUGGUUUUAUGCUCUACAGACUUUGGAGUAUGUGUCUGAGGACCAUGGUGGCCGUGUCCAGCUUGCCAAGGCAUAUUAUGAUGGUCUGAACAAGUCUCUUCAGAAGAACUUUGCUGGAAGUGGGCUAAUUGCAAGCAUGGAGCAAUGCAAUGACUUCUUUUUCCUGGCAACCAAACAGGUCUCCAUGGGCAGAGUUGGUAAUUUUUUACUACUACAUCAUUUGAAAACACUAAAAAUUGAUUUCAUAAGUUAAUUCGAAUGAUAAAAGAUCUAAAAUCUCUUUGUAGGUGAUGACUUUUGGUUUCAGGACCCAAAUGGCGACCCGAUGGGAGCCUUUUGGCUACAAGGAGUUCACAUGAUUCACUGCAGUUACAAUAGCCUGUGGCAGGGCCAAUUUAUUCAGCCUGAUUGGGACAUGUUUCAAUCAGAUCAUAUAUGUGCUGAGUUUCAUGCUGGAUCAAGAGCCAUUUGUGGAGGGCCAGUGUACGUCAGCGACAAAGUUGGCCACCAUAACUUUGAUCUCCUGAGAAAGCUAGUUCUUCCCGAUGGUACCAUUCUUAGAUGCCAGCAUUAUGCCCUUCCUACUAGAGACUGUCUCUUCGAGAAUCCGCUCUUCGAUGCCAAAACCUUGCUCAAAAUUUGGAACCUAAACAAGUUCGCUGGUGUGGUUGGUGUAUUUAACUGCCAAGGAGCUGGGUGGUACCCGGAAGAGCACAGAUGCAGGGCCUACCCACAAUGCUACAAGUCAAUAUCUGGGGUUAUAUCUGCAGACGAUGUUGAGUGGGAGCAAAAAGACUCAACAGCGGUGUACAGAAACACCGAGCAAUUUGCGGUGUACCUUCACAAAUCUGAUAAUCUGACCGUAGUAAAAUCCAAUGAGCAAAUCAAUAUCACUCUGCAACCAUCUUCCUUUGAGCUAUUCACAAUCUCCCCUGUGCACAGGCUCAACGAGAGGGCUAAAUUUGCACCUAUUGGCCUUGAGAAUAUGUUCAACAGUGGGGGGGCAAUUGAGUUCCUUGAGUAUGUAAGCAAAGGGGGGCUUUACAAUGUGAAGAUUAAGGUUAAGGGAACAGGCAAAUUCUUGGCUUACUCAAGUGAAAAGCCUAGAGAGAUUAUUUUGAAUGGAGAGGAUGUUGAGUUUGAUCGGUCAAGUAACGGAAUCCUGGGGUUUGAAGUGCCGUGGAUUGGUGGAGGGUUAUCUACUGUUUAUAUUUCAAUAUACUAAGCAACUAUUUCCUUUCUUUGUUUUUAGACUUUUUUUUUUUAUUUUGGAAUAUUUAAACAUUGAUUGUAGAAUUUUUAUUAAGAUUUAAAGAUAUGUUUGUAACUAAUUGUGUUUUUGUUGGUAUAAUUUUAGAAGUAAGAAAUAUAAUUAUUUAGUAAUUUUAUUAAAUUACAAUAUUUCUCAAUUUUAAACAUCUAUUGAGACAUUGUUCUUUAAUUUAUAUCCCAACUAAUGUAAGAAUAAUUAUAAAUGGUCAUGUGUUAAGAUGGCAUGUAUACUAUUUUCGUUAGUUUUUUUUUUAUCUGAACCACAAGGUAGUCAUGAAUGAGCUCCAACUGUGAAAAACACUUUUAAACCCGAUUUUUAUUAGUUUGAAUACAAACUUUUAUCGUAAUCCGAUAAGUGCAACGGAAUUUAUUCCGCUAACUACGACCCUAGGAACUGGGAAUAUGCUCAAUCUUCAUUUUGUACCUUUAUUUUUCUAAAGCUAAUUAGUAAAGAUUACGUGUAUGAAUUGCCGGACCACUAUUAUUGUGUUACAUGUGCUUGUCUCAGGCGCCUUAGGAAAUUAACUUUUCAAGUAAAUCAAAUCAUUAGUAAGCCUCAAGCCAAAGUUAAAGCUACAGCUAACAACAACAAAUGAACAAACUUCAAAGCAAACACAUCUUCUUUAUCGUCUUGUUUUAACUUUCAAUAAAGCAUUAAAAUUAUGAACAAGAAGUGAAACAUAUAAUUAUCAUUAAAAUCAACAAAAUCCCGAAAGAAUUCCUAUUAUUUACCUAGUUUGCAGAUCCCCACUUUGCCCCUUCAUUUCGACUUAAUUAUUUACCUUAAUAACCCCAUUUUUCUUCAAUCCCAAGGCCACCUUAAUUUUUCCAAACACCUUGCGUGCAAUCCCACUUGUAUUCUUCUCUUUUUUCUGCUUCAAAACUCCUUCUCCCUUAAACGGCACCGUCUUCCUCUCAAACUUAACCUGCUCCGUUAAACUCCCCAAAGAAGCCCCGGUUCUGCUGAACGCCGUUACUAGCUCGGGAUACAACUGCACAAUCAAGCCCUGAAACUUCUCGGACACGUCAACGCAACCACCGGGUCCAGGACUAGAAGCGCCACCACCAGACGACCCCUCGUUCAGAUAAUACCCAACUCUCACGUGACCACUUAAAUAACUCUUGCAAGCUGACAAAAUCACGUGACCUCGUUCUCUAAAAUGACUCCUCACAAAACCCUCGAAAUUCUUCGGGGGGUUACGAAGUAAAAAUGUCAUCGACUUGCAAGAUAAAAUGAAGACGUCUUCAUUAUACGCCGUUGAUUUUUUCUCCCAAAUACUCCGACCCGGCCACAUUCCGUGACCCGGUUCGUUGAAAUACGGUUUCUCGUUCAAAACAAGAGCUUGAAUGGAGACCAAAACCUGAAGCACCGUCGACUCGUCAGGGUUCCAUUUCUCGCUCUUCUUCCCCGUCCACGUGUUCAGCAAGCUCAGACAGACCCGCCCGUUCGCGUAUAGGUUCGGGUUGAGCCGCAACCCGAAUGAGCGGUAAUGCACCAUAGGCGGAUGGUUCGGGUAAUCGGCCGGGAAGGCGAGAUCAAAGAAGAAGAGUCCGUCGUGGUACGGCGUGCCGGCGGUGCCGACUAUGACGGCGCGAAGGAGAUCGAUCCGGUUCUCGUAAACCCGGACGAAUAUGGAUUCGGGUAAGUGCUUUUCGAGGAUUUUCCACUCUUGCAUGAUCUUCUUGUGGGACCCCGCUGGGAAGUGAUCCCUGCCGUUCUUUUUUGUGAAGCUUGAGGUGAUGUAGUGGUGGUCGGACACGUCUGACACGACGUCGAAUCGGGGGAAGGAGAUUGUCUCUUCGAUUUCGCCGUUGGGCUUUUGCGGGUUGGUGUUUAUAGUGAGAGCCAUUUUCGUUUCUUCGGUCUCUGUUCUGUUCUCAGUGAAGAAGAGUUUGUUCCCACUUCCAGUGUGGAUAAAAUGUGUGUUUUUUUUCACUUUCUUUACAUUUUUUUUAAAAAGAAAUUUGCAGAAAUGGUCUAAAGUUAUGCUGAAUGUAUAAAAGUAACUCAUUUAUUAUUUUUAUAUUUUCUUGUUUUAUUAGUUAAAAAUAGACAUUGCACCCUGAGCAAGUGAAUGAGAUCGACAUGUCGAUUGACAUAUCGAUGACAUGCCAAAUCUCUGAACAAUUGAUGAAUGAUCGACUUGUUGCGAAUCUGUUAAAAGAGACAUAUUAAUUGUGAGCAUCUUAUAUGUCCGAAAUGCAUAUUUUUACUACUGAAGUUAAAAAAGAAAAAAGAAAAAUGAUAAGGUGUUACUUCUAUAACUUGAACUUAAAUUUUCCCUUUUUUUUGUGACUGUCAUUUUAGGACUAUACGAGGAAUGGGAUUCUGGCCCCUGGUUUUGAUUGAAAUGGACGGUGAUUAAAGCACUUAAGGUUUUUUCAUGCAGUGAGAUUUUGUGGCCUAACAUCACAUGGUCCCACUGGGGGUAAUGCUGAGUGGUGAAGUCUGACGGUUGAUUUUAUAUUUUCCGAUUUUGAUCAUAUGGGUUACGGGUUACCAACUCCCUACUAAAUUGGCAAUAAAAAAAAAAAGCUCGGCUUUUUUUUUUUUUUUAAUACUGUUAUACAGGAUUGUAAGUAUUACAAUUAAUAUUUACAAACAGAUUCUACAAUUGGGACCUUCAUCGUGGCAUGUACUCCUCUGAAGUGCUGCCCAAAUUCUUCAAACCCUCUCAAAUAUUCGAGGGCUGUCCACUCUACUCACCUUUUGUGAGGAAUAGAUUGGCUCCACUCAAUUAUUUGAUAAUUGAGGAAGGAUUGUAAAUAAGCCCCAUAAAUGCUUUCAUGGAGGCUCGAACCCUUGCACUCAUUAUUCUAAGUGCAAGGGCUCUCCCACAAAAAAAAAAAAAAAAAAAAAAAAAGAAAGCUCGGCUUGAUACAUAUAAAUUGGAACCUUUAGAGACGCGAGCAAAGAGUGCAUGCACAAUUUGCUCGUUCACCCAGCAAUUUUUGAGGCCCAAUGUGGAAUCUGUGACUGUGAGUGGCACAAUUCAAAAUCACUUACCGUUCUUCAAUGCAUUAUUGCUGCUGCCUGCUGGCAACUUGUCUUUUACAGUGCUUAUUCUCCAACUCUUUCGAUUGUCUUUUUACCUAAACCCUAGCUGUAGCUCUAAAUGUGCUAUAUGUUUGCUUUUUGAAAGUGGUUUUAGUAAACAAAGACGGCAUCUUACCUGGCCUUUAGCUUUUCCAUUUUCUCUACUAAAGUUGAAGAAUUGUGUGAUGCCUAGAGUCCGAGUACUCCAGAAGUUCACUAAGUUAAUGAUUGUGUUGUAAGAAAACCACUCAAUAAUAAUUUGGUGAUAAAGCACUUUCCUUUCAACCUAUAUACUACCUAAAUUGGGGUUGGGUUCUUAAAUUUAGGACUGUGCUAAUAUGAAACCGUCCGACGGUAUUGUAAGUGGUUAACCACCUCCCCACAUGUUGAAUUGUAGUAUCAUAAGGUUGAUUUAGAAAAUUCAAAAUUUUUAAUUGUUAAUAUUAGGAAAAAAAAAGAAAAAAAAAGAUUGUGCUAAUGUGUAGUUAAAGGUAGUGCAAAAUGGUAAACAGGGCCAUUGCUACAUCUAAAGAAUUGUCGAUUACCUUUUGCUUGGUUUAAGUCUCCGGCCUUUACUCUGUCAAAAUUACCAACAAACUUAAUCAAAAUUAAUAAGAAAUUGACUUAGAACACUCUUUAUACCAUAAGCUUAGUUCUUUGGCUACUCAGCAUGCCUAUCUUAAAACAUAAAAAUAAUUCAGUUUCCCAAAAACACUGAAAUAUACCAGGACUCUUCUUUAUUGGGUGCUAGUAUCGGGUUCCAGGUUCUGCUAAGAAGUUCCAAUCCCAGCAAAGGCCCCGUAAAGAUUCGGAUAAACUUUGUCUACGACUUCUUGGAUAAGCCUGAUACACAUGAGGGUUUUGCUUCACUUUCAUAAACCCGUUUUCAGAAAACAAACUAACAGUCACAAUGCCAUAUCUAUACUGUAAGCAAGCUCUUAAUAUAGCGUGUGCGCGCUUCCCGAAAAUGUGCUACAACAAAGCCUCAAUAUUCUUGCGCGGAUUUCGACGCAAGAACAACAUUGAUUUGCAGGACAAUAGGAAAACAUUUUUGUUAAAAGGAUUCCUAUGUUACGUUUAACGUAACUUACACCCACACACAGCAACAGUACCUAUCGGUGGGAUCUACCACUAUUGCUGUGUGCACGCGCGCUAAGUUACGUUAAACAUAACUUAGCACUGGCCUCGUUAAAAUUCUUCCAAUAAUCACCUUCUUUUACAGUCAUCGGAGUGUUAUUUAAAGGUCUCUCAUUCAGGACUACUCCUGGAGUGAAAUUGGAACCCGAAGAAUCGUCGAUGCAGAAGGGUUCCGCCCUUCAUUUGCUUCAGCAUGCAACAGAUUCAAAUAAAAUUUUACAGUGUGGGUAGAAGCAGGGAUUUAGGAAAAGUUCAUGUGAUCGGCAAGUCACCAUUAGAGGCUUAUUGGGAUAAUCAUGGCGGAAUGCAAUGUCUAAGAAAAACAGUAUACUAGUUUUUGGAGAAUCGUUUUCUAUUAAUUUGGACAAGUCGAUUUGCUUAAACCAUAAUAUUAAUAGAUUGGAAUUGGGAAAGCAAAAACAAUUACACUCUUUCGAUGAUCAUUUGAUCCGCUGCAAGUCUAAUUUCAUCUUCUUAGAUUUUCUUUUUAAUUUUAUUUCCUGCACCCGGUGCUGUUGCAUUUUAAGAUAAAUGAUUCAUGAUUUUUUUUUCAAAUAAGUUAUAUUUUAACGCCAUAGGUAAAAACAAACAACUCCUAAGACUUCAUUGCAAAAAAAGGUUAAAAUAUCGUACACACUAAAUAACACAAAUCUCACCAAGCCACCAAUCUCACCAUGCUCCAUUCUUCCUCAACACACUUCGUUCUCAUUGUCGGCUCUCUCUCUUCCCUCCAAAUCUAGUAGCCAACUGUAUCUCGCUCCCUCACGGCGAGUCACUCUCUUGGGUCUCGCAGAAAAUUGACUUGUGGCUUUACUCUUUUCCCACCCCAAAAUCCACAGCAGCCGUGGGUCACAACUGUUGUUGUCUCGUCACCGACAGCUACCUCAUUAAUUCUAAAUUUGGUUGGCUUGAUUUUUUGAUUCGUGAUGCUCAGUUUAUUGGGCAAAUUUCGUUGACUUAAUUUAUUGAUUCUUGAUGCUGAGCUUAGUGGGCAAAUUUGGGUGGCUUCAUUUUUUGAUUCUUUAUUCUUGUUUUAACUGAGCAAAUUUGGUUGGCGUCAGUGGAGUGAGAUUUAUGGCGCUGUGGGUGAGUUGAGAUUUGGCAUGAGUGAAAGGAAGCAUGUGUGUGUUGUGUGAGUGAGGUGAGCUGCGUGUGUUGCAUGCGUAGAGACUCUCACCACAGUUAGAAUUUAUAAUUAGUACAAAACAAAGCAUUCCGUGCUAACUAUGGAGUUAGCUGUGGUGAGAAUGUCGCUCAUUCGCUAUUGUAAUUAAUGGUCGGCAAGCGGAAAAUUUUAAAGAAACAAAGUAAAAAAAGAUUCAUAAAUAGACGUGCAUUUCUAAACUCUUGAUUGGGAUCUUUGCUCUGUCAAAAUUUAUCUACAAAUCUAAUCAAAAUUAACAAGAAAUUUGAACCCUCUUCACACCAUAAACUUAGUUCUUUGACCAGUCACACUAAAGUACGCCCAUCUUCAACAGGAAAAAAAAAUUUCAAAAACCCUGCGAAAUUUACCAGAAUUCUUCCUUUUUUGGGUACCAAUUACUGGUUCCAGAUUCUGCAGAGCUUAGUUCUCAAGAAUUUUCCAUUUUUCCAUAAUUUUCUUGCAUACUUGACUUCCAGGAUAUGCAAAGCUGUCAUUCUCUUCUCCAGAGUUUUUCUCGCAAUAAUGACGGUCUGUGUAGUCAGUCACCACAUCAAAGUGCCUGAACUUUUCUUCUUUGAUUGUAUUGUUUUGCUGCAUCCCUGAAUUUAACUAAAAGAUUAAUCAAUCAAUUAAUUAAUUAAUUAAUUAAUGGCACCGUUGUCGAAGAGUUACAGUAGCAUUGUAGCAUAUGUAAUUAAUUUUGUAUUUAGUACUUUUUUCGCUGUUAUUAUUCCUAAUUAUACACAUAAUAAUAAUAAUACAACUACAAUGAAACAUAAAGACGACAAAAAGUGCUUGUAUGUUUGAUUCAACUAAUAAAAUCACUCCGGAUGGUGCAAGCGAUAUGCGUAUUGAAGCCCCUUCACGUAGACAUUAUGCUUAGAAAAAAAAAUGAAAGAAAGACACAAAGAGAGCUCGUCGUUUUAGCUUCCAAAUACCUUUUUCUGCAAAUUUUUUUUUUCCAGCUAUUCGUUGAGAAAAAAAGGGGGAUUUAAAAUUAUGAUCUUGUUGACCGUUCAGAUUUAAUAUUAAUUUCCAUCACUAACUCACCGAAAUUUUCUCAACAAAGUAGUCUAGAUUUUAAACCAAAAAUAAAAAAUAAAAAAUCUAAAAGGAAAUUUUCCUAAUAUCAGAGAAUACAAGCAAAAUUAAAAUAAUGUUCUGCCGAAAUAAUAAAAAACAAGGUUAAAAUUUUGCUGCAACCCGAAGCCAUUGCUGUUGUCUUCGAGAAUAUGCUCUGCUGGUGCCUUGUAAUGAACCAAGCCUAGCUUCCACAAAACCUACAACGAGAGACUGGCGUUGGGUUCUGACUUUUGUAUGUGCAUGUGUUUCUUCUUUGUUGUUAUAAAGUCGUACAAGAACUAAUAAGGUAUGUGAUUUAUAUUUUACAGAAGGGUAAAGUAAAUAAAAACUACUGUAAUUGAUUCCACAAUGAAAAAAUAUCAAAGGAAAGACGAAACAAAGUUUAGAACAAUUAUUCUUUUCUUGGUGAUCCGGUUCUGCAAAGAAGUUCCAUUGAUCUUGGUGAAUGCCACGAAAAGUUCUGGAUAGAUAUUUCUAUUACCGCCUCGAAUAAGCUUGAUCCUUAGCAUUUAACCGAAGAAGAUGACCCUUUUUCAGAAAACAAAACCAAUUCUCGCCGUACCAUUCGUGUAACCCUUCCAAGUACUUAACAUGGCGUGUGCCCGCUCACGAAAAUGUGACGUCACAAAACCUUCAAAAUUCUUUGGCGGCUGCGAAGCAAGAACAACACUGUUUCGCAGGACAAUACAAAUACAUUUUGACUAUAAUUCUCCCAAUUAUUUCCUGCUUUGAAAAGUGCUUCUCAAGUAGGAAGGUUCCACGGUUCAUGCCCUUGGCCAUCCCAAGUGUUCAGCAGGCUCAAACAAACAUAACCAUUUGAGAACAGAUUUGGGUUCAGGCGAAGCCCGUAUGAUCGGUAAGUCGCCAUUGGAGGCUUAUAUAUUGAGAUAUUCACAAGGGAAUGCAAUGUCAAAGAAGAGCAAACCGCAUGACAAGGCGUCCCUUGAGGACCAAUGAUUACAGCACGGAGAAGAUCAAUUCUUUGUUCAUAGACUCUCACAAAAGUUUGAUUCAUGAAGAUUUUUCCUGAAGAUUUUCCAUUCUUUUAUAUAUAUUUUUUCCUUGCUUACUCCACUUUCAGGAUCUACGAAGCAGUCUUUGGAUUUUCCAGUUUCGUUACUGCUGUAGUGAUGGUCCGAGUAGUCCAUUAUUACAUCGAAUUGUAACGAUGAAGGUUUAUUUUGAUUCCCAAGUUUAUUUUAAUUUCUUUCCAUUUUCUUAUUUCAAUUAGAAUUUAGGGUUAUAAUUAAAUUAAAAUUAAAAUUAUGUUGAACAACUAAGAAUAAGUAGUUUGCACUAUAUUUUUAAGUUAACAAUAAUAAAAUUAGUUUCAAUUCUCCUAUUAAAUCUUUUUCUAAAUUCAUAAAUUCUCUCUCUCUCUUUUCUCUUGAAUUUCUUAAUCAAAUUAAAGCAUAUUUUUCUUAUGGGUAAUUUUUACUUUUCUCCCUUGAGUUUUCAACUUUUUGUACUUAGAUGGCGAAGAUCCGUUUAUUAGUGAAAAUCCCCUUACAACUUGCAAACGUUAGUUCUCAGUUAGUUAGUUGUGAGCACUUUGGUAAUCUCAUUUGACAAGCAAAAAUUUUACACUUUUUGGUUGACAUGAGCAAGUGAGUUGUCUAAUCAGUUUGAAAAAUUGUGCCUUAAUUUAUAAAGCAAAAUUUGUAAAACAAUUCAAAGUGGUCUUUUCUCUUUCGUGAAGCACAGUCAUGACCUUUUCUCUUUAGAUAGGCACAUUUAAGAACUCUGUUUAGAAGGUAAAAAAAUCUUCUUUGUUGUAGAGUAGUAUCCAUUACUUAUGUAAAGUGAAUAAGAAACACAAGACCUGCAUUAUGUAUCGCUCUGAAUUUCGCCGAUGCUCCAGGAAUCCAAAUCACUUUGUUGAAGCCAAUAAAAAGUUAGUCUCUCACAAUUUUUUUUUUCCUAAUUUGGAGCAUUUUGAUACUACUCUAAGUGAAAAAUGUCGAGUGGGUGCUUGAUUUCUUAUUAAUUGACAUGGUUUUGAUGAGAUUUGUAGAGCUGUGAAGUAAAUUUGUUUACUUUAAAGUAGUAAUACUCUUAUCAUAUCAUAUGUUAUCAAACAACAUUACAAGUCCAGAAACUGUUAAAGACAUUUUCAACUUUUAUUUAGAAAGACGAAAAAAAAACUUAUCCAGAUACACUUAGUCAUUUAUAAAAUAUUUGUUUCGGAAAUCAUUUUUUUCACGAUUGUUUGUAGAAAAUAGAAAACUAACUUUGAGAAAAAAAUACUAAACACCCUUGAAUAUUAUUUAAUGUUGUAAUGUAAUUAAUGGAUUAUCUUCUCACUUAUUUUAGGCUGAUUUGCAUAUUGGUAUUGUAGUCACAUAUUAUUUGCUUUUGGUAUUUAUUACAUUUUAGCUUUUUUUUUUAAAAUAUAUGUAUAAUUUAUUUAUGUUGUUUUAUGGUAUUGCGGUGUGGUGUAUUAUGAUGUUGAAGUAGUAUUUUGAUUUAUGUGAUUUAUUGUUAUGGUUACAAUUGUCUUUUUAUUUGUUGAAUUCAAUUGUAAAUAACUCAUAUUUAAGGGGUAUAAUAGUAAUAUUAUGAUUGUUAUAAACUUGGCGCCAAAUGUUUCAGAUGUGUACAAAUCUAACCAGGGGCAUUUUAGAAUUUUUAACUUCCACUAACAGUCAACCACAAAAUUAACUAAUGGUAGUAGAGCUGGCAAAAUUUGACACGACCCAAUUACUCGACACGAACACGACAUAAAUAAAUGUGUAUGGGUCGUCAAAUUUAACACGAUUAUUAAAUGGGUCGGGUCCGGGUCAACACGAAUUUUUUCCGUGUCGGGUUUGGGUCAACACGAUUUUUUUCCGUGUCGGGUUUGGGUUAAAAUUCUUGACCCAUUUACCCGAUCAAUGACCCGAUUAUAUUUUUUAUUUUAAAAUAAUUUACAUAUUCUUAUAAUUAAAACUCAAAUACUAGAGAUGAUUUUCUUUUUUUUUCUUGACCCAUUUACCCGAUCAAUGACCCGAUUAUAUUUUCUAUUUUAAAAUAAUUUACAUAUUCUUAUAAGUACAGCAGAAAUACUAGAGAUGAUUUUCUUUUUUUUAUUCUUUAAAAGGGUGAAUAUAAACACAAUGUUUUAUUUAUAACAUUUUACAUAUAUUUAAAGCUUCAAUAGUGUAAAUGUGUAAAAAUUGAUAGACAUGUAUAUUUUAUAAUAUUGAUAUAUAAUAUUAUAUAUAUAUAUAUAUAAUUAAAACCUUAAUAGUGUACAUGUGUAAUAUAUUGGUAGAUAUGUAUAUUUUAUAAUAUCGAUAAAUUAUGUAUGUAUGUAUGUAUGUAUUUAUGUACAUACGUAUAUAUGAUAGUGUGUAAAUAUUUUAUGUAACUUUUGUUCAAUAUAUAGAUAUUAAACGGGUUAUUGGAUAACUCGAUUAUUUUUCUGUGUCGGGUUUGGGUCUCAAUAUUUUGACACGAUUAUUAAAUGGGUCGGGUUUGGGUCGAUCUAAAUUUAACACGACACGAAACUGACACGACAUGAACACAACCCGAUGACCCGUUUUACCAGCUCUAAAUGGUAGGGGGGUUUUUCACUAAUAAAUAAAUCUUCGCCAUCUAAGUACAAAAAAUCCAAAACUCAAGGGAGAAAAGUAAAAAUCACCCUUUUUAUUAUUUACCAAUCUUUCUUUUUCGAGAAAAAACAAAAACGACAAUUUUUUUAGAUAACAGAGCCAUAUUGUUCCUGGGUCCACUAUUAUUCUGGUCCACCAUUAUUCCCACAAGUAACACCCAUUAUUCCUCCAGAACAUUCAGAAUUACCUUUCAUCCCAAUUUUUUUUAAAAAAUGGUUGUUUCGUGGCCCCUCCUCCGAUAAGCCACUUCAGUUAAGUAACAAAUACCUUUGAGUUAUGAUAACACAGAUGUACUAUUGGCAAACAAAUUAAACAAAUGAAUCCGGGUCCAGUUACGUGUAACUGUUUUAAAAUAAAAUAUUAUUUUAUAAUUAUACGAUUAAAAUUAUAAUAAUUUUUUUUAUUAUUUAUCAUUUUAUAUGUAUGACUGUAAUUUGUAUUAUAUAUUAAAACAACUCUAAAAUAACUAUAACCUAAAUAAUAUAUUAAAAAACUCAUCAAUUACCACUACUUUUUUAUUAAAGUGCACUUUGAAUUCUCCUGGUCCCCAUCAACUACACACAUAAUUGAUAACAGAUAUAGAAAAUAAAAUAGAAGAGAUCGAGAAGUGGAAGAAAAAGCUCAGAAUUUUCCAUAAAAAAUCACCAAAAUUUUUAUAGUUUAAGGCUUUAAACCAAAAUAAUUAAUAAGGUUUCAUGGAGAAAAUAAAAUAAAAUAAGGGCCCUGCAGAACAGGAAAAAAAAAUAAAAGAACCUGAAGCCAUAGCUGCUCUCCAAGCUUUGCCUCCAUUUUCCCUCGUGCGAGACAUUCACAAAAAGUUUUAUAUGUAAUUAUAAGUUUUAUUCUUCUUACGAGUGCUAACCAUUAAUAAGUUCCCACUUCCCACCCCGUCAAGAUAAUCUUAAUUAAUUAUUUACUUUUAAUUUUUUCUAGUAGAGAGAACCCUAAUCUUCUAAGUCAUAACAUUGACUUUGGCUUUCGUUUCUCUCAAUUUUUGCCCAGAAGACUGCAACGACGUCGUUUCAGCGCGGACUCCGUUCAACGGUCAGAAGCCAGAACCCUUCACGAUUGUCGUCUUCAAUUGGUAAUAUUUGCAUAGAACACAGAAAUGUCCAAAAACAUUGGAUUUCCAACAUAAGGGUCGCAACAGGUUCUGAAAACACAACUUUGAUCACAAUAUUUUGAACCUUUCAAAUUUCAAAUAAUUACAUUGGUUUUAGGCAAAUUAUUGAUUGCUACUAAAGAUAAAUGAUUGAAAGAACCAAUUGAUUGAAUUUGAAAGAGUCGCGUAUAGGACAUGCUGAUCAUUUGUUGAAUUUACAACUUGGAAGAGGGUUUCUUUGAACUCCGAGCAGCUAUAAACUCCUGCAUUUUCUUAAACUGCUCCUUCGUCAUUCCAUUGUAGUAGUCAUGAGCCCGCUCCUGUAAAUAAAUAAAAGCACUAACGUGAAUCAAGUAAUCACUUGAAAUGACAUGUUAUAGUAACACCAUAUCAUAUGUCACAUCAGUUACGAUACAUACUUUGUAUUAUUGGGUCACAAGCAGUAGAUGACAACAUCAGGAACCUUGAAUGCAAGCAAAAUAUUACCUUUUCAAGCGCAAGAGCAUGACCCAAGUCCAGCUUCAGACCAUCAUUGAUGACUGCCUUAUACCUCAACACCAAGUCUUGAUUGUUCUUUAUCAUUGCUUCAGCAACUGCGUGCGCUUUCUUCAACAAUUCACCUUCUUCAACAACAUGGUUCACCAGGCCCCACCUCUCACCUUGCUCAGCAGUUAUAGGGGUAGCUGCCAUGGAUACUUCACGAGCUCUAUUUGGUCCAAUAAUGCGCGAAAGCUUCUGAGACAGACCCCAUGAAGGAAAUAUCCCAAAUCUGAAUGAACAAUUUGCAUAAACAUGCACGUUUAUAUAUUAUAACAUAAUUUACAGCAAAACAAAGGUAAUAAAAAUCAAUCACCAUCCACCACCAGGCACUUCAACAUUUUGCACAAAGUGGCUACUUUCUAUUUCGACAUUUGCCGUUGCAAUUGCAAUAGGCAUCAAGAAGUAGCCCCCACCAAAGGCUUUUACCACUCUAAAAAAUCCUUUGGCAUUCAAACAUUUCAACCGUUUCUUAGCAACACAUUCCUAUGGUGUUCUUAUAAACCAGUGAUGUGUACACUAGUACGUUUCCUAAGGAAACAAACAGCUUAACGUUUAAAACGCUUAUAAGCAGAUGCUUCAGAAAACAAAAAUCAUAACGCAUGCAUUGGGAUCUAUUUCAGAUUUCAUAAAAUUCAAACUUGGGCUCCAUUUAGUAUCAAUGUUUAGCAUGUUCGAUCGGUAAGCACUUCUUUUGCUCAGGUAGCUAAUUUGAAUUCAACUCACAGUUAUUCCAUAAAAAAUCUUAACCAUCCGUACCCAACUUCAAAAGCUAUAAUAACCGACCAUCCCCAUCAUUUGAUAGCUGCUGCUCAUGUAGCUACAUGCUUCCAUGUCACAGUAAGGGUCGUAUCCAUGGCACCACAAUGCCAUAUGAAGCUUUAAUCAUACUUGCUAAGUAAAAGGUUAUAACUUCAACUAUCAACCCACAAAAAUUGGCAAGUUACUAUCCACAAAUUCAACGAUUUUACUAAAUUUUCAUAACGGGGACCAUCCUCAUACUCAUAAAUUACAAAAUAUUCUAAAAAUUGACCCAAAAAAAAAAAAUUCCCAUCCAAAGGUAAAUUUCCCAUUAGUAAAAAUACAAAUUAACUAAAAGAAAUCUUGCAUACUAACCGAGCAUGGGUGUCAAUAAAUUUUGCGCCUUUAGCGGCAACCAAAACGUCACAAGCCAACGCGAUUUCGAACCCGGCCGUUACAGCGAAACCGGAAAUGGCCCCGAUGAUCGGUUUCCGGCACCGCUCCAUUUGUGCCACCGUGUCAGUCUCAACAUCCUUAACGUCUCCUUUAAACACGUCCUCUGCUGACGUCAAAUCCACGCCGGAGCAGAACGCACGACCCGACCCUGACAAGAUGAUAACCAGGACGGAUUCGUCCUUGUCCAACGACUUGAACGCCUGCGCCAUGUCCGCCAUCAUUGACCUGGUCAACGAGUUUAGCGAUUUCGGACGAUUGAUCGUGACGUAAGCGAUCCCCAUAGGGUCUCGGGUCACGAGGAUUAGAUUUUCGGAUUUAGUUUGGCCCAUCGUAAAUGUUUCCGGGUUUCAGAUUAGUGUUUUCGUAUUUUUUUGGCUUUUUAAUUGAGUUAAAUUUAAGGGUAACAGUGUUUGAUUGAAGUGCGUGCAAUAACAAAUUCCUUAUCGAUGAAGUGAUGUCGAGCUUGACUGAUAGCGACACGUGGUAUGGGCGGCACGGCACAAAUUAUAUGAUAUGGGCAAUACAACUGCAGUUCUCCUUAUUUGCAGAUAAUAUCCUUUAAAUGAGGGUCCGCCUAAGUUACAGCUGACGAAGGUUACAGCUAUCUUGUAAAAUUAUAGUCAGCCUCCUAUACUCUAUAUUAUUUAUAAUUUAUUCAUAAAUAUUAUAAAAUUAUUUGUAUUAUAAAAUUUCGUUUAGUCCCUUACACUCUGUUUUAUUUCAUUAAAACCUUUAGAAUACCAAUUCACUCAUAUAAUUUUAAAUUCCCAAAAUACCAUCCGUUUUAUUAAAAAAUUAUAAUAAUUAUUAAAUGAAUUAUAAGUAUAAUAAUUUUUUAUUAUAAAUUAUAACUAUAAAUAUAAUUAUAAUUUUUAAAUAGAUUAUUAUUAUUAUUAACAAGAAUAAAAAGUAUUAUAAUUAAUUAAUCUAUAAAAAUAAUUAAUAGUAAUUUUUUCGUUAAAUUGUUAAUGGUACAGCAGAACGAUAAUUAUUAUUAAUAAUUAAUUUUUGAACAAUAAUAAUAAAAAUAAUAAAAAUAAUAAAUAAUAAUUAUGAUAAAAAUUAAUUAAGGAAUUUAUAGUAAUUUGUUAUAAUUUAACUCAUUCUGAUUUUGAUUCUAAGAUAAAGUAAACACAUAAACAGUAAUAUAGCUUAUUCUAAUUACGAUUCAUACAGUUUAAGUAAAAAAUUUAUUCUAAUUCCAAUUCCUUAUUUUGAUUAUAGUCAUUCCAAUUCUAACUCAUUAUAUUUCCAGCUAAUUUCGAUUCUUGUUUAGUGAAUGCACUAUAAAAUUCGUAAUACUUAUGAAUAAAUUGUAACUAAUAUAGAGUGGUCUAAUUGAAUAUAGAGUAGUUUAUAAUUUUAUAGUGUGUUCACUAAACAUGAAUCGAAAAUAGCUAGAAAUAUAAUGAGUUAAAAUCAGAAUAGCUAUAAUCGAAAUGAGAAAUUAGAAUCAGAAUAAUUUAUUUACUUGAACUACAUGAAUCGUAAUUAAAAUGAAAUGUAUUACCAUUUACGUGUUUACUUUGUCUUAGAAUCAAAUUGAGAAUGAGUUAAAUAGUAACAAAUUACUAUAAAAUCCUUAAUUAUUUUUUAUUAUAAUUAUUGUUAUUGUUAUUAUUAUUAUCAGAAUAAUUUAUUUACUUGAACUACAAAAAUCGUAAUUAUAAUGAGAUGUAUUACCAUUUAUGUAUUUACUUUGUCUUAGAAUCAAAAUCAAAAUGAGUUAAAUUGUAACAAAUUACUAUAUAAUCUUAGAUUAAUUAAUUAUAAUACUUUUAUUCUUGUUAAUAAUAAUAAUAAUAAUAACAACAACAAUAAUAAUAAUCUAUUUAAAAAUUAUAAUUAUUUUUAUAGUUAUAAUAAAAAAUUAUUAUAAUUAUAAUUCAUUUAAUAAUUAUUAUAUUUUUAAUUAAAUGGAGGGUAUUUUGGGAAUUUAAAAUUAUAGCGACAAAUUGGUGCUCUAAAGGUUUUAAUGAAAUAAAACAUAGUGUAAGGGGCUAAAUGAAAUUUUAUAAUACAGAAAGUUUUAUAAUAAUUGUGAAUAAAUUAUAAAUAAUACAGAGUAUAGGGGUCUAAAUAAAAGUUUACGGGGCAGCUAUAACUUACGCGAACUGCAACUUAAGGGGAUCCUUUAAAUAAACCACUCGUUGCAAAAAUGUCUAAAUUCAUGGCGUGCGUUUACUAAUUCGAAGCGGAAUGGGUAGCAAUGGGUAAUUUUUAAAAACCUCCCCUGAGGUUUGGGCUUGUUGCAAGUAGAUGACGAGAAUCUAUUUAUUUGUAAAAAAUCUCCUACCGUCUUAAUUUUAACAUUGACCGUUAGUUGACUGUGCAAAGACAAUAUUGCCCUUAACCAUAGUUUGUAAACUAACAUAACUAAAAAAAAAACUAAAAUUGUUGGCGCGAAAAGCACAAACCCUAUUUUUUGACAAUUUUAUCCUUGUCAAUUCCAAAGAUUUACAAUAUCAUAGGUAACGAUUAUGACUAUUUCAUUUUCAAGUUUUUUAUUUUAUCUUUUUUGUAGGAACUUUAAGGAAAUAUCAAUAAUUUAAAGAGGAUUUUUCAAGUUUUUAAUUUUAUUUUUUUUGUAGGAACUUUAAGAAAAUAUCAAUAAUUUAAAGAGGGUAAAAUAGCCAAUAAUCUUGGUUUUUUUUUUUAGCUAUUUCCGUCUACAAACUAUUGUUAAGGGUAAUAUUGUCUUUGCACAGUUAACUAACGGUCAAUGUUAAAAUUAACUGACGGUAGAGAGUUUUUUACAAAUAAAUCAAUUCUCGCCGUCUACUUGCAACAAGCCCAAACUUCAGGGGAGGUUUUUAAAAAUUACCCGGGUAGCAAUUGAAAUACAUUAAAAUAAUAAUAAAGAAUAGAAAUUUAAAAUAAGUUAUCUACUUGAAUUACAAGAAUCAAAAUUGAAAUGAUCUGAAUUACCAUAAUAUGUUUACUUUGUUUUAGAAUCGGAAUCGAAAUUAAUUAAAUUGUAAUAAAUCGUUAAAAAGUAUUUAAUGAACCAUUAUCAUAAUUAUUAUUUUAUAUUUUAAUUAUUAUGAUUAUUUAUUCAAAAAUUAUUAUUAAUUAUUGUUAAUAAUAUAUAUUAAUUAAUUUAAAAAAUUAUCAAUAAUAACNNNNNNNNNNNNNNNNNNNNNNNNNNNNNNNNNNNNNNNNNNNNNNNNNNNNNNNNNNNNNNNNNNNNNNNNNNNNNNNNNNNNNNNNNNNNNNNNNNNNNNNNNNNNNNNNNNNNNNNNNNNNNNNNNNNNNNNNNNNNNNNNNNNNNNNNNNNNNNNNNNNNNNNNNNNNNNNNNNNNNNNNNNNNNNNNNNNNNNNNNNNNNNNNNNNNNNNNNNNNNNNNNNNNNNNNNNNNNNNNNNNNNNNNNNNNNNNNNNNNNNNNNNNNNNNNNNNNNNNNNNNNNNNNNNNNNNNNNNNNNNNNNNNNNNNNNNNNNNNNNNNNNNNNNNNNNNNNNNNNNNNNNNNNNNNNNNNNNNNNNNNNNNNNNNNNNNNNNNNNNNNNNNNNNNNNNNNNNNNNNNNNNNNNNNNNNNNNNNNNNNNNNNNNNNNNNNNNNNNNNNNNNNNNNNNNNNNNNNNNNNNNNNNNNNNNNNNNNNNNNNNNNNNNNNNNNNNNNNNNNNNNNNNNNNNNNNNNNNNNNNNNNNNNNNNNNNNNNNNNNNNNNNNNNNNNNNNNNNNNNNNNNNNNNNNNNNNNNNNNNNNNNNNNNNNNNNNNNNNNNNNNNNNNNNNNNNNNNNNNNNNNNNNNNNNNNNNNNNNNNNNNNNNNNNNNNNNNNNNNNNNNNNNNNNNNNNNNNNNNNNNNNNNNNNNNNNNNNNNNNNNNNNNNNNNNNNNNNNNNNNNNNNNNNNNNNNNNNNNNNNNNNNNNNNNNNNNNNNNNNNNNNNNNNNNNNNNNNNNNNNNNNNNNNNNNNNNNNNNNNNNNNNNNNNNNNNNNNNNNNNNNNNNNNNNNNNNNNNNNNNNNNNNNNNNNNNNNNNNNNNNNNNNNNNNNNNNNNNNNNNNNNNNNNNNNNNNNNNNNNNNNNNNNNNNNNNNNNNNNNNNNNNNNNNNNNNNNNNNNNNNNNNNNNNNNNNNNNNNNNNNNNNNNNNNNNNNNNNNNNNNNNNNNNNNNNNNNNNNNNNNNNNNNNNNNNNNNNNNNNNNNNNNNNNNNNNNNNNNNNNNNNNNNNNNNNNNNNNNNNNNNNNNNNNNNNNNNNNNNNNNNNNNNNNNNNNNNNNNNNNNNNNNNNNNNNNNNNNNNNNNNNNNNNNNNNNNNNNNNNNNNNNNNNNNNNNNNNNNNNNNNNNNNNNNNNNNNNNNNNNNNNNNNNNNNNNNNNNNNNNNNNNNNNNNNNNNNNNNNNNNNNNNNNNNNNNNNNNNNNNNNNNNNNNNNNNNNNNNNNNNNNNNNNNNNNNNNNNNNNNNNNNNNNNNNNNNNNNNNNNNNNNNNNNNNNNNNNNNNNNNNNNNNNNNNNNNNNNNNNNNNNNNNNNNNNNNNNNNNNNNNNNNNNNNNNNNNNNNNNNNNNNNNNNNNNNNNNNNNNNNNNNNNNNNNNNNNNNNNNNNNNNNNNNNNNNNNNNNNNNNNNNNNNNNNNNNNNNNNNNNNNNNNNNNNNNNNNNNNNNNNNNNNNNNNNNNNNNNNNNNNNNNNNNNNNNNNNNNNNNNNNNNNNNNNNNNNNNNNNNNNNNNNNNNNNNNNNNNNNNNNNNNNNNNNNNNNNNNNNNNNNNNNNNNNNNNNNNNNNNNNNNNNNNNNNNNNNNNNNNNNNNNNNNNNNNNNNNNNNNNNNNNNNNNNNNNNNNNNNNNNNNNNNNNNNNNNNNNNNNNNNNNNNNNNNNNNNNNNNNNNNNNNNNNNNNNNNNNNNNNNNNNNNNNNNNNNNNNNNNNNNNNNNNNNNNNNNNNNNNNNNNNNNNNNNNNNNNNNNNNNNNNNNNNNNNNNNNNNNNNNNNNNNNNNNNNNNNNNNNNNNNNNNNNNNNNNNNNNNNNNNNNNNNNNNNNNNAACUGAGGAUAAAAUAACCAUUUUUUAUUUUGGGUGGGAGUGGGGGUGGGGGGAAUGAUCCAUCCUGGGAAUCGGAGAUUGAUUCCCAACUUCGACUGAACCCCACAAUUCUGAUUUUGAUUCUUAUCUCCAUUUUGCAAAAUAAACACUUUCAAUAAUUCCGAUUCUGGAUUCUGAUUCCUCAAUCAGAGAAGAUCAUCAGUCUUUCCAAUUUCAUCUUUGGCAAUUCACGAAAUUGUUGUCUUAACGAUGUUUGGGGAUGAUAGAAAUUUCUAUGGAAACUAGGACAAUUUAUACAUAAUAUCUCAUUAGAGGAUAAAAUUUAGUGACAUUCUUAUUCCCAUCCUAAUUUUUAUUUUAUUUCUUUUAAAAUUUUAAUAAAUACUUUUAAAUCUAAAUUGUAAUAUAUGUAUGAAAAUAAUAAAUCUCAUUAAAUAUAAAAAUAAUAUAAAUAACAGUUAAUAUAAAUAUUUGAAGAUUUAUAAAGAUAAUUUUGUUAAUGAUUUAUAACAUGUGACCGAUAUUUUUCAAGCAACUUUAUUUAGCUGACCACCUAAGUUCGAGUCCUUGAGGAAGUAGGGGCUAAAAAACUGACUUAGACUUUACCCACUUCCUAAUAUUUUUCUUUAUAAAAAAAAAUACCACGUGAUUUUUGUGGAUGUGUUCAACUUUAAAGCUCUAGUUUUACUUAAUUUCAUAGACGAUCUUGUAAUUUUGAUAAUAUUGACUUAGUUUAAUGGAAAUAAUUUUUAUUUAUUUAUUUUAUUUUGAUGUUUUUGUAUUGGUAAUUCGAUUAUAUAUUUUUACCUUAAUAUAAUUAAAUCAAGUUCGAAAAAUAAAAGUAUCAAUUAUUCAGGAAUUGAAUACCUAGGGAAUCCCCAUACCCCUCUCCUCAAGCAAUUUUGAAGGGAAGAGGGAGGGUACGGGGGUAUAAAUACAAUAUCAGAUGGAUACAGGGAUGUUGAUCCCAGCCCUCUCCUCUUUCCUCCCUAUUGCCAUCCCUUACAACAUUUCUCUACCUAUAGGUAAAAAUGAUAUUUUUGCUUUUGUUAACUUCAAAAUCAAUAUGGUCGCUAUUUAAGUAUCAAAAACUAAACAAUAUUGUUAUUUGAGUUCUAACUUGAGUUUAAUGUUAUAUGUCAUUAAUUUAUUGAAAGAUGAAUUUUAUAACUCAUAAAAUUAAUAUUCUACUAUUCAAUAGAUGAAUGUUCUAUUAGGUAGAACUUUAGUUGAGGUUGAAAUAUUAGAAAUCCUAGCAUUACUUGAAACAAAAACUAAAAGUUGAUGCAUUUUGGCAACCAGCAGUAGGGGCGGACAAACCCAAUUCAACCCAAUCUAAUUUUGAUAAGUUAAGUAGAUUAUUGUGAGUUAAUUGAGUCAAUUUUUUAACCUAAUUAUUUGGGUUGGGUUAAUUAUAAUAAAUUCGUUUAACUCAAUCCAACCCAUUAAAUAAUAAUAAUAAUGAAGAUGAUGACGACGAUAUGUUUAUUUUCAAUUAUAAAAUCCUAAAGAUCUAAAAAGCUAACCUAAUUUUAAUUUUUUUUAUAUUUUUACAAAAAGAGACCAUUCACUCUUGUAUUUGCAACUAUAGACUCUAAUUCUAAAACUAAAAUCAAUCUCUCGUAUAAGUAAAUAUAUUAUCUUACAAGUAUAAUUUUGAAAGUAAAUUGGUUUCAAUUUCUUUUUAUUUUUUAGUAAACACUUAACAGUACAUAAUUAUUUAUCACUUUCAUUUUGUUACUCAAUGUGAUGCUAGCUAACUAUCUAAAGAGUCUAAAUUUAAAAUUAAAAAAAGAGAAGCGGAAAGCCGAGAAUAAAGUCCAUAAGCACAUUGUCGAAAUUUUCUUAAUUUUAAGAUAGCUGAUUUUUUAGCUUUCUUUAUUGUACCCUCUACAGUGAAUGAAAUUUUCAUGUUUAGUAGAGUUAUAUUUGAUUUUAAUAAAUUUCAUUUCAAGUUUUAUAUCUUUCCUUUAUUUUACUUUAGUUUUAUUUAAUCUUUAACCCAAUCAACCUAACCCAACUUGAUGAUUUAAGGGUUGGAUUGAAUUGGGUUAAACAUAUUUAUUUAAUUUGGUUGGGUUGAUUUUAUCUCAACCCAUUCAACUAUGGCCUGGAUUGAAUUUUCGCAAAUUUUAUCCAACUCAACCUAUACCCAUCCACAAGUAGUAGUUUAAUUGAAAAUUUGUCAAACAAAAUGGACUUUAGUGUAAAAUAUUAAUUUUUAUUUAAGCGAAGUCUACAAGAGCAUCAUUAAAAAAAAAAUCUAGGAAAACACGUUCUCUUUUGCAGUGUAAUGAUGAACCAGAUCAUUUGAAGCGUAGUCCUCCUUCCCCUCUUCUUUUUUUGGUAGUAUUUAUAGAUCAACCUUUUUUUUUAUUAUUACGUUAUUAUUGAAAGUUGCUUUGGAUGCUCUCUAAAAAAAAAAAGAGGAUGCAAAAUCUAAUAUUAGGUAGAAAUAAACAAAAAAUUUAGUAUCUAAAAUUGUUUUAAAUAUUUUGUUUACAAGUUUAAUUAUAUUGUUGUAAAUAUGUGUCAAAUCUCUUAAAAUUAAAUGUGCUGCAUAGUAAGGAUUUUUUUUUUUUCUAAAGAGUGUACAAAGUAAAAUUUAAUUUUUUUUUAAAAAUUUAGUAUACAACUAUAUAGAGUAACAAGUGUUCAAACUUUAAAGUAAUUUAUAUAGUAAAAAUAUCUCCUUUCUUUUAAUUUAGUUGUCAGCUAUGAUUAUAGUCGAAAUGCUUCUACCAGUGAAUCUUCAAUUAAUAACAAAUGUAAAUGUAUGAGAAAUCAUAUGCUUAUAAAAUUGGUACUUCAAUUCUUAAAUAUUGAAAUUCUUAUAUUCUUAUUAUUUUUAUUCGUUUUGGGUCUCAAUAAAUUGUAAAAUAAUAUAAAAUUAAUAGUGUUGACCUAUCAAAUUACAAAAAUAGAAUGUUUUAUCUUGCAACCACAUCAAACUUGAGCCAGUUGCCGAACGUUCAUCGGUGAGAUAUCAUCAGAAUCACCAUCCAAAAGUCGUUUUGCUAUGAUGAUAUUAGUAGCUUCAGAUGGAUGAUACGGAUCCCAGAACACAUACUUUGAUCUAUCACUGCAAACUUUAGACGAUGGACCACAGGGGAUCAGCCCUCCAUGGGUCCCAGCAACAUAGCAGCAAGAAGAAUUUGCAAUCUCAAAACCUGCGAUAAAUGAACAAAGCUUCUUUUAAGAGGAAAUCACAUAAAUUUAGAACGUAGUUGCUGUGCACGAUAACCAAAGUGACAUUGAUCUCAUAGAGAGCUAGUGGUUUCUUCUCACAAUUUGCAUAUGGAUUAAAAUUCACUCCACCUCAAUUUCGUAUAGAUAAAACAUUGAUAUAUAUAUUUAUGAGUCUAGUUCAAAUCUUCAUUUUGUAAACCAGAAGACGUUCUUACCAAGCACCCAUUUGACAUCUCAAUCCUAAACAAGCAUGAAGACAGUUUUAGGUUUAAAGCCUUAAGCUUUGAAGAGUCUGACAGGAUCCUGGAGCCUGGAGCUGUUCCAAACUAAAAUGUAAGACGAGAAAGGAUUCACAAAAUGCCUACCAUAUGAUCUGUAGUUUUCCAGGAUGUCGGCUACAAUGCGAUAAACAUCGGAAUAAACAAACUUUGAUUCCUGAAGAGAUGUGGUAAGCUCUGCAAUAAGGCCCUUCAACUCUGUGUUAAAUAACCGAGCCAUUUGAUUCGGCAAACUAACACAGCUUUCUCCGGCCGAUGGAUUCGUGUCCCUCUGAUAUGGAAUGCACCCAACAGGACCAACAUUUGCCACAAUAAUUUUUCUGGCACCCAAAUUAUAAAGUCUCUGCAGAGAAAUUCAAAUUUGUUGAUUUUUAACAUUUCAAUUAAACAAAUGCAGUGAAACUGAAAAUCGAGAGUUGUGAGAAAAUUAAUUUACGGUAAGCUGCAUCCGAAAUCUUGCAAUCAUGGCUGCGACGAAAAAAUCUGGGGAAACCAAUUUUUGCACAGCGGCUGAGAGGACAGGCGUGAAGUAAUUGUUGAUGAAAUCAUUGGAGCCCAUUGUCACUGAGAACAAAGACCUUCGUAAAAGCUGUAGAGUUGCAGGCUCACCUAUGGUUGAGAUAAUAUCUUGCCUUGUAUUUGCAAAAUUAUCUAACUGGGCAUCCAUGUUGAUUCGGCCACCCUGUACAUGCAAAAUUACAUAAAUUUUAUAUAUUAGACAGAUUUAAUGCAUUUAAUUGGCCAAUGGCUAACUGUUAUAUUUGUAGUAUAGUAGAUAGGAGAGAAGAAUUAAUGUGUGCAACUUCUUGUAAGCAACAAAGACACUUGUGGGCGACGAUUUCUUCUAAAUUUUUGUUUGUAGGCAGAUCCGGGCCCGCUGUGGACUCAAACUUAGCCGCAAUAGAACUAUUUAAGCAAAACCUCGGCAGAUUUCUAAUUGUAGGUAUCUGAUAGCCUGUAAACUUUUGAAUCUUAAAACACAUUAAGUUUCUUCAGAAAAAUGAAUCAGAAUCCUUACGAAGAUCUUGCCAGUUUGAUUUAGAAUUCCACCUCCACCAGAAGCAUAAUUGACGCCUUGGAGGAUCGAAUUUCCUCUUGUUGUGGGAGCCAAGUAAGGAGGACUGAACCCUUUGAAACCCAAUUCUUGUCCUGUUAAAAGGAAUGAAAAUUACAAACGUGUUAAUAUGGUCAUUUCAAAGAAGGAUUGGUGCAGAAAGAAUCAAGCAGAGGAGAAACAAAACUUGCCUAUAAUGUCAACAAUUGUUCUUCCAUUGGUGUAUCGACCCGUUGGCACCCCGAAAUCUAUCCCAUUUGGUACAUAAUUAGCCUUGGAGAGCGACACAAUGUAGUUGUUGUUUCCCACAUCAACUAAGGAGUCACCAAAAACAAAAUUUGCGGGAAUAUCAUAAGCUGCAAAGCAGUUCUUCAACAAGAACAAGAAUGUCAGUACUUGAGAAAGACUAGACAUGAUGCAAUUGGGGAAUUAGUUUUGAACUUGUGGGGCUAAAGAAGAUUUGCAAGAGUGUGAAGAACUCAAUGUACAUAUAUAUUUAUAGCAUGUGUAGAGAAGGUGUACUUAUACUGUAGCAAUGUUGGCUGUGUGGGUGAAAUUAAUAAGAGAAGAAACAACAAACUUCAGCUGCCAACAGACGAGUAUGGGGUAUUUAUGAAUGAAAUCUAUACCCCACAGUGUGUAAAAAAUUUGGUGCGUUAUUAGGCAAAGCAGAAUCUAGUGAGAACAUUAUGUUGUAUUCAAAAGUCAGCAUUAUAUUUAUUGGCUGGAUGGUAAGAAUCUCCCAUCAUGAAAGAGUGUGUAAAAAAUUUAUCUUGCUUGUAAAUUUGUAAAUAUUUAUGAUGUGGUGUACAUCUCACGAUUCUCACCUUUAUUAGGGCGAAAUAUUUGAACUCUCCUCGUAAAAUCAAAUUGUAUAUGACAUUUAAAAAAAAAAAAAAACAUUGAAUGCCCUGCAAAAUCACCAGCAGCUUAUGAAAAUACCAGAAACAGAGCUGCUGGUUUGUUAAGAGAGAACAGAAACGUUUUAAUUUUUUCAACCACCAGGAGACCUAACUUACUAUCAACAUUCAAAAGUGAGUAACUAGCAUCCUUGAAAUUUAAUGCAUUCCUAAAAAAAUACAGUUUCUAGCCAGUGGUCAUUCACUGUACUUUCGUCCCAAAUAUUCCCUUAAAAAUCAAGACUCUUAAUAAGAAAUUAAAUGGGAAGGCAAGUCGCCAUUUCUUAUCGCUUGGGGGGGUUGACAAGAUUGUGAAAUGAAUCAUGUAAGCAUUUAUUUCUUUUACCAACUAACUACCGUCCAAAGUAAAACUCACAGAGUCAUAGUAAUGGAUGAAUUAUAUUAUUAAAACAAAAAUGUAGUAUGAUGAUGGAGACAUAACAGAAUUCAAGAAAAGACUAAAUGCGGGAAUUUGGCAGUUGUCACCGCGAGUGAUGGUUACAAAAUAGGAUCACCAGGGUUCUUGUGUGUCUUUAAUUUGGGGUGUAUUCAGCCUUUCGGUUCGGCCAGUUCACUGUUCACCCACGGAUGUUUUGGGCCAGUUCACCCACAAGCUCCACUCCCAUUGAAGCUUCAUCAUUUAAGUCCACCCACAAGCUCCAUUGUGGCCCUUUUGAAAGACUUCAUAUGCCACACAUAUGACAUGUUGUUGGUAGCACAUAUGAAAGUUUCUUAGUACGAUGAGCCUUUUAACUUAAAACUAUAUCAUUAUCAUCCAUUCCAGCAGAACACUUUCUUUGGAAAUUUGUUUCUCAACCUCAAAAUGAACUAAUAAAAGGGUUCCUUUUUAUGGGUGUACUUGUUUUAGUUCUUUCAAUUCUAAAACUAAUUUCAACUCUUGGCAUCUUUUAUCACAAAAAUUCAAUAACUCUCAAUUCAAAAGAUUUAAGCCCCACAUAGAAUCUACUGGAGGCCCUCCAAAAUAGUGAGUACCCACCUAGCAGACUUUUCCGCGCCAAUUUAUUGACAUCCAAUUUUAACUUCCAAAAAAACCACUCCCCUAAAUAACAUCUUGAAGAUCUCUCAAUUCUUUCGCAACGAUCUCUCACAUAAUCCUUUCAAUAUCCCGCAAUUUCAUAAUGUCGUCCUCUUAUUUGCUUCCUUGGAGAUUUUUUCGAUUAAUUAACGUAGCCGGUGUAAUUCUUUUUCUCCAACUCACUUGUUUCUCCGAUCGUGUCUAUAGCUUGACCAAGAAAACUGUGUUUGAUGCUCCUCUAUUGACAGAAAAACUGAACACCAACCGGACAAUCAAAGUUGACAUCAAUGGCGACGGGGACUUUAAAUCCAUACAAGAUGCCAUCAAUGCGGUUCCUAAAGGGAACCCUAACUGGAUCAUUAUCCAUGUUCGAAAAGGCGUUUACAGGUAAUUUAGUUUAUUUAUUUUCCUCUCAAUUCUCCGUACUUAUUAUGUUUGCUGCAAUUGCGGAUAAGUUAACACACUGAUACAUUUGUUAAUUCAAUUUUGGCCUUUAGAGAGAAGGUGUACAUACCAGAGGACAAGCCCUACAUAUUCAUGAGAGGAAAUGGAAAGGGGAAAACGGCCAUUGUUUGGUCGCAAAGUGCUACUAACAAUAAGGACUCUGCUACAUUCUCCGUUGAAGCUCCCCACUUCAUUGCCUUUGGUAUCAGCUUCAAGGUGCAUGAAAUUUUUUUUUUUAUUUUACCCCCUUAAACUAUUUAAACAACAUCAUUCAACGUUGAAGAUUUCUAAAAUUAUUUGAGAACUAUCUUUACAGUACAAUGCUCCUGCCUCUCUUCUCCAUCGAAAUAGCUCAAGUUUUUGAAACUUUUCAUUGUUGAACUCUCAAGUUUUUGUUUAUGUCCCCCAACUUAUCAUAUAUAAUGUCCAUUACCGUAAAACUUAUGGUCAACAAUAGCGUGUAACCAUGUAACAGAAAACUAGAGGUUUUUAAUGAAGAGAGCAAGGCAUUGGCACAAAAAGGACUUGCACUGCACUGUAGAUAUACUCAGAUUAAUUAGAAGAAGAAGAAGAAGAACGUAACCCAUAGUUAUAUUUUAUUUUUUUCAUAUUUUUUGGGCACAGAAUGAGGCACCUACGGGAGUUGCAUUUACCUCGCAAAAUCAGUCAGUGGCAGCGUUUGUGGGUGCAGAUAUGAAUGCAUUUUACCACUGUGCAUUUUACAGUACCCACAACACUCUCUUCGAUUACAAAGGCAGGCACUACUAUCACAAUUGCUACAUCCAGGGCUCAAUCGAUUUCAUCUUCGGCCGCGGCAGGUCCAUUUUCCAGGUAACUCAGCUAGACAGCUAAUAUUCCAUUUUUGGAUCACAAUUUAAGCAAGUUAAUUAUAGAAAUAAUUUUGGAUUUUCACUUGCUGAUUGCAGAACUGUGAGAUCUUUGUGAUAGAUGACAAGAGAGUAAAGAUUCAUGGUUCUAUCACAGCUCAAAAUAGAGAAGAUAACACUGAUAAUAGUGGAUUUGUGUUUAUUGAAGGCAAAGUCUAUGGAACUGGUGAUGUGUAUUUGGGAAGAGCCAAAGGUGCCUAUUCAAGGGUAGUUUUUGCCAAGACCUACUUGUCUAGGACCAUUGUGCCCCAUGGCUGGACAAAUUGGAGCUAUGUUGGCAGCACAGAGUAAGGAAUUUAAUUCCAUUUUCUCAGAAAAAAAAUGAUACUAAAUCACAUCAAUUUGAAGAUUUAGCAUUAGUAAUUUUAAUUUUAAUUUUCUCUAAAAUCUUGAUGUUGUGAAUUGAAACAGCAACCUAUUCCAGGCAGAGUACCGGUGCCAUGGACCGGGAGCUGAGGCAAAGCACCGGGUCCCAUGGUCGAAACAACUUAGUGAUCAAGAAGCAGAAAAGUUCAUGUCCAUUGAUUUUGUAGAUGGCAAGAAUUGGCUACCAGCUUGGGUGUAAAUGUUACUUUUAGCAAGAAGUUGAUUCCAGUUUAGGAAACCAAAAAUGUACUUGAUUCGAGUGGUUCUAACUAGCCACCGAUUUAGCAUUCUUCCUUAAUUUAAGCUUGUUAACUUUGGUAUUUGUACUUUGGGCUUUAGCCUUAUGCUACAGGAAUUUGAUAGUAUCUUAGAAAAUGAAGCUACUUUUUACGUAUCACAUUCACAUUUACAGACUCUUACUAAUGAGAGAAUAAUAUUGGAUUUUGUAACUAAUAUCUCAAUAUUUUAUUUUAGAUAUUGACGUGGCACUUAUUUAUUUUAUAAAAUGAUAAAUUUCAUAACUUGUAAAAUUAUUUAUUAUUCUAAUUAUAUCAUUUGAUAUCAUACUAAUAAAUUAAUGUCAUUUCAUUUGAAAUUAAGCGAUAUACUUGAAAAGUAUUGAAUUACUUAUAAUAAAAAUUCCAUAUCAACCAUUACUAAUAUUACUAGUAUACAUUUAUCAUUGAUCAUAAUUUAUUACUUUUUACAAAUCUUUUUUUAUUUAAAAAAAAAAAUCUUCGGCCACAUAUAUAUAUAUAUAAGUAGCAAUUCAAAAUCUCCUAAUAAUAAUUGGAACUCGAAUCUACUCUCAUAGGAAUUUAUAUAUCUUUCCUCUUUAUAGGGAUCUACCUAAUAUAUAUAAUAAAAAAAAAAAUUCCGUGGCCCACCACAUCUUUGUGUCUUAUGCACCAUAGAAUUAAUUGUUCUCCAUAAGCAAAACCCAGAUCACUUUUAUUCCUAGAACCAAUCUCAUAAACAGUAUUCACGAUUUCGCAUCACCAUCAAAAUUACCACCAGCAACUUGCUUUUCAACUCUUGCGGCUGCAGCUUCAGCGUCAAUCAAACUGCCGCCACUAAUCCUUGCACUGUCCCCUAACAUUUCUGCAAGGAUUCCGCUGCGCGUAACGCCACGUACAAAUGCACAAUAACAGUAGUAGAUCUCACCAUAAAAAUUAUUACUGUGUGUUACUGUGUGUGUAGCUAUACGUUACGUUUAACGUAACGUAGCACCAGUCUUUCUGCAAUAAUAUUAGUUGCAUGUGGAUGAUAAAUCAUCUUUUAGAGCUUCCGGCAUUGGCUGUCCCAAUCGUCAGUACAAACAUUAAAGCCACCAAGCUAACACGUACAUUUUGAGUUUUUAGCCAUCUUUCUAUUGUAUCCAAGCAAACGAUCGAUCGAAAGGAAGAAAAGAAAGCUUGUUUUUAUGGCAUUGGCAGGCUCAGUGGGAGGCCCCAUUUGUAGCGUAUGAAAUAGUGGAAAAUAUUAAUGCAAUCUGUUCAUAUUUGUUCUUCAAAUGUUAUUGUCAUCGAUCAGGAGUACGUAAACGUAAUAAACUUGAAUUCCGAAGUAAAAAUUUUGAAAAGAUUUAAGCUCAAUAAUUUUAAGACGUGCAUAGUUGCACGAUAAAGAUGUAUAAGAAAUCCUUUUUUUUUUUUCCUUUUUUAGGGGGGUGGCGCAAUUGAUCCGCUUAAAUUUACUGUAUGUAUGUCUAAAAUCUGAAACACAAAUAGUAUAAUUGAUUUGAAAAGUUAUCUUGGAUCCAAUACACUAAGGUCAUGUUUGGAAUUAAGGUAUUGUAACUUUUAAACUACAGCUGCUGUAGAAAAAAAACUGUAAUUAUGAAAUAAAAAAGUUAAUAAUAUGUAGUAAAUAUAAAAUUUAAAUAAUAAAAUUAUCAAAGAUAUAAUAGAUUUUUCAUCAUAUAAAUAAAAAAUUAUAUCAACAUAACUUCCAAGUUACAACAAUUAGUGUUUACCAAACACUUUAAUACCGUAACUUUUAAGUUACAGCUGCCUAACCUCAAUACCAAACACAUUCUAACAAUCAUCAGUCAAGUAAGUGAUUAUCAAACAAAAUUUGAGAAUGGAUUCUCAUAAAAAAAAAAGGUGAUAAUCAGAAUAUAACCCUGGUCCUUUAUUUACUUUCACAUGCAAAUAGUGAGAAAGGGAGUGGAACUUUCUAUUUCACUAUUCAUAAAUAUUUAUUCCUAGUGGGAGAACUUAGUCAUAUAUUUAUGCUAUCAUUGGUUACUGAAUUCUAGAAAAUUAGGAAAUCGCCCACAAUUGUAUCCCCAUGCCACCACAUCUUGGGAGCCCUAAUUGGUACCUCCAUCAUUAAUAAUAUUACAACUAGCAGAUCCUAUACUCCCAUCACCAUGCAUCCAAACCAACUCGAUGUUCUACUUUUGCAGCUGCAACACCAACGCCAACAUUAAUCACAGUGCCUUUUUUAAAUCCUCCGUCCAUGUGAUUUGCCGCCGCGCGCGGCCAACACUUGUUUUUUCUCCAAAUCCAUCUUCAAAGCAGCCUUCAGAAGUUUCGUUUUUCUCAAUUUGCUUCCGGCAUUGAGCUAUCCCUAUAACCAAUAUUAACCGAAAAGUCACAGGCAGCACGCCGAUGUACUUGGAAUGUUUUCUCAUGUUUUAAAAAGACAACACACAGAAUGAGCAAUAGAUAUGAUUAUGCUCUUGCUUGGUGUUACAACGCUUGGAGUGGUGACCCUUAUUUGUAGUGCUAAGAGUAAUGGAAAUAAAUUAAACUUGGGAUACAUAGACGCAGCUGUUCAUCUUUAUUCCAUGCAGACGAGAAAAUUCAUGGAUCCACGUACGUGCAGCACAAAAAUUGUAUCGAUAUGCAAGAAAACAUGCAUGCAAACGCGAAAUGAUAAUGUGGCUAAACUGGCCAUAAUUUUACGCGCAAAGUUUGACAUAAGACGAAAACAUAAUUUCUCGCCAUUGAGAACAACUGCAUGCACAGAGAUAUUGAUUGAGAGCACGCGUCAAAUAUCAUUUUAUUUAUUCCAGAGAUAGGUGUUGUUACUUAUUGAGACACUUGGUAUGAAACAACCCAUGCACGCACAAGCAUGGUUUUAUAGCAGGCUCGCUAGCUAGGAAAAUAUUAGAAUCAAAAGUUGCCUCCAAUUCCCCCACCAGCACCACCACCAAAACCUCCACCACCUCCUUUGCCUCCUCCAAUGCCACCACCAGCACCAACACCUCCACCAAAUCCUCCUCCACCUCCUGCACCACCACCAGCUCCACCUCCUAUGUCGCCACCUUUUCCACCCCCAGCACCACCUCCUACGCCACCUCCAGCUCCACCUCCUAUACCACCACCUUUUCCACCCCCAAUGCCACCACCAGCACCUCCUCCAGCUCCACCUCCUACGCCACCACCAGCUCCACCUCCUAUACCACUACCUUUUCCACCACCAAUACCCCCACCAGUGCCUCCUCCGGCCCCACUUCCUAGUCCACCACCUUUUCCACCUCCAAUGCCACCACCAGCACCCCCACCAGCGCCCCCACCGCCUCCUAUUCCACCACCUUUUCCGCCUCCAAUGCCACCACCGGCGCCCCCGCCUAAACCACCACCAUGUCCACCUCCAGCACCAUCACCGCCUCCAAGACCUCCACCUGCUCCUGCACCACCCCCACCACCAAAACCACCUCCAAUGCCUUUAGAAAAUUCAUCUUCCUCAAGUUUCCUACAUUCCGAAAUUCCUAUGACCAACGCAAAGAACACAACCAUCACACCAACAGACUUAAAUAUUAGUUUCCCCAUAUUUCUAAAAGAGUCGAAGAAAGACACAAAUGCUUGCUUUGUGAUGCUAAGCUUCAAAGGCUUAGUGCUCUAUUUAUAGAGUAACCAAGUGGCACACUUUAUUGCGUGUACUAAUCUUACUUAAUGAAAUGUCCCAAAAUUCAACUCAGUUUGAAUAGAAUCGUCAAUUGCCGGUGAAAUAAUAGUGAAGCUGUCACCAUUACUCAACUACUAACCUAAUGCAUGUCUCCACUCACCACCGUCACAAGUAAUUUACAAUUAAACCAUAUAUUUCUGACCACUAAGAUUAUCAACUAAGAUUAUCAGAAGAAAAGCUCAAUUAAGAGAUUUGGAAAUAUGAUGGCAUGGUAUCAAAUCAAAUGGACCGCACUAUAUAUUAGCAAGAAGUUGAUUCCAGUUUAGGAAACCAAAAAUGUAAUUGAUUCGAGUGGUGCUACCGAUUUAGUGUAAGCUUGUUAGCUUUGGUAUUUGUACUUUAUCAAAAAAAAAAACAAAAAAACUUUGGUAUUUGUACUUUGGGCUUUAGCCUUAUGCUACAGGAAUUUGAUAGUAUCUUCCAAAAUGAAGCUACUUUUUACGCAUCACAUUCACAUUUACCAGCUCUUAAUAAUGAAAGAAUGAUAUUGGAUUUUGUAAGUAAUAUCUCAAAUUUUUAUCUCGAAUAUUGAUGUGGCACUCAUUUAUUAUAUAAAAUAAUAAAUUUCAGUACUUGUAAAAUUAUUAAUCAUUCUACUUACAUUAUUCAAUAUCAUACUAAUAAAUGAAUGUCGUUUCAUUUCAAACUAAACAAUACUACUCAAGAAGUGUUGAAUUACUUAUUAUAAAAAUCUCCAUAUUAACCAUUUUUUUUGCCAGCAUGGAAGGAGUGGAAAGGGGAAGCAUCUAUACAUUUAUCAUUGAUCAUAAUUUAAUACUUUUAACAUAUUUUUUCUUUUUAAAAAAAAUUAUUUUCGGCCAUAUAUAUAUAGUCGUUCAAAAUUUCCAUAGGCCGCCAAUGGGUUCAUAGUCCAUUGACAUCCUGUUCUUGAGCGCAUGGAUUCCAGUACUAGUAAUGACUCGGACACGACUCUCAUCUCAAUAAGGAUCUAUUUGUCUCUCUUCUUAGUGGGGAUCUACCUUAUUGUAAUGCAUCAGCAUAAAAAAAAAAAAAAAAAUUCCUUGCUCCACUACAUCUUUGGUGUCCUAUGCAUCAUAGAAUUGAUUGUUCUCCAUAAGCAAAACCCAGAUCACUUUUAUUCCUAGAACCAAUCUCAUAAACACUAUUCACGAUUUCACAUCACCAUCAAAAUUACCAUCAGAUCCUUGCUUUUCAACCCUUGCGGCUGCAGCUCCAGCGUUAGUCAAACUGCCGCCACUAAUCCUUGCACUGUCCCCUAACGUUUCUGCAAUAAUACUAGUUGCAUGUGGAUGAUAAAUCAUAUUUUAGAGCUUCCGGCAUUGGCUGUCCCAAUCGUCAGUACAAACAUUAAAGUCACCAAGCUAACACGUACAUUGUGAGAAUUUUGCCGUCUUUCUAUUUUAUUCAAGCAAAAGAUCGAUCGAAAGGAAGAAAAGAAAGCUUGUUUUAUGGCAUUGGCAGGCUCAGUGGGAAGCCCUAUUUGUAGCUUAUGAAAUAGUAGAAAAUGUUAAUGCAAUUUGUUCAUGUUUGUUCGUCAGAUGUUACUGUCAUCGAUCAGGAGUACGUAAACGUAAUAAAUUUUAAUUCCGAAUUAAAAAUUUUGAAAAGAUUUAAGCUCAAUAAUUUUGAGACGUGUACAUUUGCACGAUAGAGAUAUAUAAGAAAUCCUUUUUUUUUUGGGUGGCGCAAUUGAUCCACUUAAAUUUACUGUUUAUAUGUCCAAAAUCUGAAACACAAUUAUAAUUGAUUUGAGAAGUUAUCUUGGAUCCAAUACACUAACAAUCAUCAAUCACGUAAGUGAUUGUCAAACAAAAUUUGAGAAUGGAUUCUCAUAAAAAAAAAGGUGAUAAUCAGAAUAUCACCUUGGUUCUUUUUUUACUUUCACAUGCAAAUAGUGAGAAAGGGAAUGGAACUUUCUAUUUCACUAUUCAUAAAUAUUUAUUCCUAGUGGGAGAUCUUAUUCAUAUAUUUAUGCUAUCAUUAGUUACUGAAUUCUAGAAAAUUAGGAAAUCGCCCACAAUUGUAUAUAUCCCCAUGCCACCACAUCUUGGGAGCCCUAAUUAGUACCUCCAUCAUUAAUAAUAUUACCACUGGCAGAUCCUACACUCUCAUCACCAUGCAUCCAAACCAACUUGAUGUUCUACUUUUGUAGCUGCAACACCAACGCCAACAUUAAUCACAGUGCCCUUUUUAAAUCCUCCGUCGUGUGAUUUGAAGCUGCGCGCGGCCAGCACUUGUUUUUUUGUCCAAAUCUAUCUUCGAAGCCGCCUUCAGAAGUUUCGUUUUUUUCUCAAUUUGCUUCCGGCAUUGAGCUAUCCCUAGAAUCAAUGUUAAUAGAAACGUCACAGCUAACACGCCGAUGUACUUGCAAUGUUUUCUCAUGUUUUAAAAAGACAACACACAGAAUGAGCAAUAGAUGUGAUUAUGUUCUUGCUUGGUGUUACAACGCUCGGACCGGUGACACUUAUUUAUAGUGCAAGAGUAAUGGAAUUAAAUUAAUGCAUUCAGUUGAAGAUGUUUCUAUGACAGAAAUUUCUAUAAUGCGGUGUUUAAAAUUAUGUUGUCAAUGACAUAACAAACAUAAAUUUUGUAUAAGAUUAGUAAAUAGAAGGUAAAACAAGUAAAUUAAUAUAAGAGUGGUAAAUAUGUGUUUUAAAAUAACAAACAAAAUAAACAAUUAUAAAAAUAAUACAAAAUUUGUAAAUCAACAUUAAAAUUUAAUUAAAAAUAUUUUAUUCAUUUAAUUUAAUUAACCAAAGAAAAAAAUUCACUCAUCAAUUUGAAAAUAAAAAAAAAUUGUAUUGAGAACAAUUGGAAUAAGGAUUGAAUUUUAUUGAAUUAGUAUAACCAUGAGUUCUAUAUUCAUCCUAGGACAUUUAUAAUUUUUUUUAUCAUAGUAUUUGUUUAUUAUGAAAAAUUAUUUUUCUUGAUGUGGAUCAAGCCAAAAACAAAAAGAUAUUCAUAUAUUAGUAGACAUAUAUGAUAUAUGAUGUAGGAUGUUAUGUGUCGCGAGUAGAGUACUUUUCAGAGGCCAUAACUUGGACUACAUGUGUCUGUUUUUGGCAUAUAAUAUAUUAUUUCGAAGCUUACGACGAGACGAACAAAAUUCAAAACUGCCUAAGUCGUUCUGCCCUGUGGUCAAGCUGGAAAUUCUACUUCUUUCCUGGUCAUUUUAUAGUUUUAAGAUUUUUCCCUAUUUUUUCUAUUUUUUCUUGGAUUUUUAUCUUCUCUUUAGAAUUCGAAUUUGAGUGUCAUUUGUUUUUCUUUUCUUAUUUUGAUUAGAAAAUUUUAAUUAUUAUAUUAUAUUUCGGAUUUUCUUAUUUUGGUACAUUCACGAUAAUUAGGCUUAUUAUAAAAGAGGCUCAAAACUCUAAUAUUAUUCAAUCAAACUUUCAACAAGAUUUACCAUUAUUCAGAAACCUAGUUUCUUUUAUCAGCAAACUCAACAACGUUUGUGUUUUGUCAAUAUAUUUAUAACAUUGGAUAUAUUUUUGAGUUUUAUACAUAUUUCAUGUAGUUUCAAAAUUUGCUUUUGACUAUACUUAGGGUGCGUUUGGAAUUGAGGUGUUAUAGCUUUUAAGAUAUAGCUACUGUGGAAAAAAAUUGUAACUAUGAAAUAAAAGUUAAUAAUAUGUAAUAAAUAUAAAUUUUGAAUAAUAUGUUAGUCUAAAGGGCUACACAUAUUGUAAUUUUGAUGAUAACAAACAUAUGUAUUAAGUGAUUUAAUAAAUAUUAUAUUUCACAUUUUCAUUAGUUUUUGAAGGGUAAUAUUUAUACAAGUGAAUCAAGUGAAAUCAAGCUCAAGACACUCAACGGACAACGACGAAAUCAAGAAUAAAGUUUAGAGCUCAACGGAUAAAUUAGUGUGAUAAAUUCUUGUAAAGCCGGUAUGAUUAAAUUGAUGCAUGAUUUAGCAUUUGAGAAGCUCAAGAGAUUAAUUUAAUUAAUCACUUUUUAUAAACUAAAAGGUUUUAUUUUUAUAAGAUAAAGCACCUUGUGGUUUUGAGUAAUUUGGACUUAAAUGCUAAGUUUUAAAAUCUUUGAUUUUAAUAAGUAUUAUUAUUAAAUUUCGGAGUUGGACAUUUUUACAAACAUUUGAAAUGUUUUGGGUCAUACUAUAAUUUAUUAAUAGUUUAGACUAAAGUGAAAGGUUUCGAGAACUUUGAUAAAUAUGGGUAUUAUGUUGAAAAGGACUUUUUUGUGAAAUAAUAAUAUAUUUGGGGCCAUGUCAUAAUUUCAGAAAGUUUUGAGCUGACAAUCAUUAUUAAGAAAUUUUGAAAUUGGACCUAUUUAUAAAGUUUUAUAACAUUUAGGCCAUAGUAUAAUUAUAUAAAGUUUUGGGCUAAAGUGUAAUUUUAAUGAACAAUGUUACUAUAGCAAAAUUCAAAAAUAACGGUAAUAUCACUGUUCAUGAGUGGCUAGUUGGAUAAAUCAAGCGGCUAACCGCUUGGGCGCUGGAAUUUACCUAUAACGGCUAACCGUUUGGGAGCUGGAAUUUACCUAUAACGGCUAGUUUUCGGACUUUAACUAUAAAAACUCAACUCUAACUUCAUUUUAAGAACUAAUACAAGGAAAAACAACGUCAUAUAACAUAUAUUGAGCUUCCAUUUCGUAAAUCAUCAUUUGUUGAAUCAUCGUUGAGCUAUAAUUUGUUAUCUACUCUUAAAGAGAGUUUCAUUGUUGUGAUUUUCAUUUCUCAUCAAAUUGUGAGUGUAUAAGUGUGAGAAACACUUGGGGUGAAGAGAUUGGGGAGAUAAUCUCUUGUUGUAAAGGUCCAUUGACAUCUUGGAAGUCAAUUGUAAACAUUUGAAGCAUUGUGAGGCUUGGAUAGUGAAAUCCUCAAGCCGGGUGUGCUUGAAGGCGUGGACGUAGGCAGGGAUAGUCGAACCACGUAAAAAUCUUUGUGUUUGUUUUCUCUUCCUUUACUCUUUUAAUAUUGUGCUUGAUUGAAUUUAUUAUUUUUUAUUUGAUUAAGGCAAUAGAUUAAAUUGUUGUGUGAAUUAUAUUGCAUAAUUUUAAAAUCCCAAUUCACCCCCCCUCUUGGGUUGCAUAACUUGCAUUUCAUAAUAAUUUUGAUAAAAUUAUUAAAGAUAUAAUAUAUUUUUCAUCAUAUAAGUGAAAACCCAUAUUAAUAUAGCUUCCAAGCUACAAAAGCUAGUAUUUACCAAAUACUUUAGUGCUGUAACUUUUAAACUACAGCUGCCCAACCUCAAUCCUAAACGCACCCUUAAAGAUUAUUUGAUGUUGUUUAAGGAGCUUCAAAAUGAUAAAAAACAUGAAAAGUAUCAUUUUUUAAAAAUCUAAUUUUGAGAUAAAUUUUAUCCUUAACAAAUCAUCACAUAAAUUACAUAAACUCAAAAUUAUCAUUAUUCAAUUUAGAUAUAAAAUCAGAAAAUAUAUAAGGUAAUUAUUAUUAUAAUGAGUUUUUAAUUUGUAUUUGUAGGUUUUUAUUUUUAUCAAUAACUCUUAUAUUAAUUUAUUUGUUUUACCUUCUAUUUACGAGUCGUGUGUUUUAUUUAUAUAAUUUUUGUUUUAUUUUUUAUUUAAUGUUGAUUUACAAGUUUUAUAUUAUAUAUGUAAGUUUUUGUUUUGUUUACUAAUGAUACACUAAUUUACCACUCUUAUAUUAAUCUACUUGUUUUAUCUUCCAUUUAUAAUUCUUAUAUUUCAUUUACCUAAUUUAUAUUUUAUUUUACACUUAUUAUUGAUUAACAAGUUUUAUGUUAGAUUUGCCCUUUGUUUUGUUUGCCAUUGAUACACCAAUUUGACACUCAUACGUUACUUUAGUUUUUUUUAAUCUUCCAUUUACAUCAUUUAUAGUUUAUUUACACUUAAUAUUGAUUUAAAAAUUUUAUAUUAUAUCUGUAAUUUUUUUGUUUACUAAUAAUACAUCAAUUUACCAAUAUUAUUACGUUGAUUUUAUUUAUCUUACCUUCCAUUUACAGGUCUUGUGUUUUAUUUACAUAAUUUAUAUUUUUAUUUUACACUUGAUUUACACAUUUUAUGUUACAUUUGUAAGUUUUUGUUUUAUUUAUAAAUAAUAUACCAAUUUGCCACUCCUAUGUUAGUUUACUUAUUUUACCUUCCACUUAAAACUCUUAUGUACCAUUUACAUAAUUUAUGUUUUAAUUUAUAUUUAAUAUUGAUUUAUAAGUUUUAUAUUAAAUUUACAUGUCUUAUGAUUCAUUAAUAAUUAAUGUUUGAUUAUGGUAUUAAUGCCAUGAUUUUGAUUACGACAUCAUAAACUGAGAUAAAAUUAGGUUUUACUUUAAGUUAACAUGAAAGUGGCAUGUGGUUUUUUCCCCAAAAAAAUAAAAAUUAAAUGGUUGGAUUGGUAUUUAUUAGAUUUGAACACAUAAGUCCAUAAUUAAUCCAAUAACAUUGGAUUUUCCGUUUUGCAAUCCAAUACAAAAAAUGGUUUGGUUUCGAUUAGAUCUAUUAGUUUGAUUGGAUUGAAUUAAAUCUUAAAUACCUCUAAUUUGUUCAACAUCAAUUUGUUUCAUUUGAAUUUAUGGAUACGCGGGCUCAAUUUGAUCUUUAAUAGAUCUCUUCAUACCGGACCUAUUGAUAAUAUACAUGAUCUAUCCGAAUAAUAUUGGUUCUUUUUAAUUUCUUCUUCUCGUAACUUUUAUUAAAAAAAAAAAACUACAAUCCUCUAGACUUUGCUAUAUACAGAGGUUAAUUAAAAAAAAAAGGUCUUAAAAAAUUUUAUAAAUUAAGUUUCACUUUCAAUGGAUUAGAAAUUUUGAACUUGGGAUGCAUAGAUGCAGCUGAUCAUCUUUAUUCCAUGCAGACAAGAGAAAAUGCAUGGAUCCACGCACGCGCAGCACAAAAAUUAUAUCGAUAUACAAGAAAACAUGCAUGCAAAUGCAAAAUGAUCAUGUGCAAAAACUCGGACGCGAGAGUCACGACCUCUUGGCUAAACUGGCCAUAUAUAAUUUUACGAGCAAAGUUUGAAAUAAGAUGAAAACAUAAUUUCUCGCAAUAAACCUACCAUUGAGAACAACUGCAGGUAUAGAGACAUUGAUUAAGAGCAUACGUUAAAUAUCAUUUUAUUUAUUCUAGAGAUAGAUGCUGUUACUUGUGAGAUACUUGAUUUUCUCGCUACAUAUCUAUGAAACAGCCCAUGCACGCACAAGCACGGUUUUAUAGCAAGCUCGCUAGCUAGGAAAAUAUUAGAAUCAAAAGUUGCCUCCAAUUCCCCCACCAGCACCACCACCAAAACCUCCACCACCUCCUUUGCCUCCUCCACUGCCACCACCACCAGCACCACCACCUCCACCAAAUCCUCCUCCACCUCCUGCACCACCACCAAUGCCACCCCCAGCACCACCUCCAGCUCCACCUCCUAUGCCGCCACCUUUACCACCCCCAAUGCCACCACCAGCACCUCCUCCUAUACCACCACCAGCACCGCCGCCAACUCCACCUCCUAUACCACCACCUUUUCCACCCCCAAUGCCACCACCAACUCCUCCACCAUGUCCACCACCAAUACCCCCACCAGUGCCUCCUCCGGCCCCACCACCUUUUCCACCUCCAAUGCCACCACCAUGUCCACCUCCGGCACCACCACCAUGUCCACCUCCAGCACCACCACCAUGUCCACCUCCAGCACCACCACCAUGUCCACCUCCAGCACCACCACCAUGUCCACCUCCAGCACCACCACCAUGUCCACCUCCAGCACCACCACCAAAUCCUCCACCAGCACCACCACCACCAAGACCUCCUCCUCCUCCUGCACCACCCCCACCACCAAAACCACCUCCAGUGCCUUUAGCAAAUUCAUCUUCCUCAAGUUUCCUACAUUCCGAAAUUCCUAUGACCAACACAAAGAACACAACCAUCACACCAACAGACUUAAAUAUUAGUUUCCCCAUAUUUCUAAAAGAGUCGAAGAAAGACACAAAUUCUUGCUUUGUAAUGCUAAGCUUCGAAGGCUUAGUGCUCUAUUUAUAGAGUAACCGAGUGGCACACUUUAUUGCGUUUACUAAUCUUACUUAAUGAAAUGUCCCAAAAUUCAACUCAGUUUGAAUAGAAUCAUCAAUUGCCGGUGAAAUAAUAAUGAAGCUGUCGUCAUUACUCAACUACUAACCAAAAUAGAUGUCUACACUCACCACCGUCACAAGUAAUUUACAAUUAAACCAUAUAUUUCUGACGACUCUUAAUUCUUAUCAACUUAGAUCAUCAGAAGAAAAGCUCAACUAAGAGAUUUGGAAAUAUGAUGGCAUGCUAUCAAAUCAAAUGGACCGCACUAUAUAUUAGCUUUUCAGAGUAGUGGUACACACUGUCACAUGCGUAUUAAUUGAUCAGCUCUAAAGAAAUCAGAAAUAUAUUGAGGGGCUGUCUGGGCUUGUUUUAGAGAAGUUAAAAAGUGAUUACAAAAAAUUAAAAGUUGAUUUUAGUGUUUGAUAAAUUUUUUUAAAAUUUUUGGUAAAAUCACUUUAUCUAAAGAAUAGUUAUUUAAAAUUUAAUUUUGAAAAUUACUUUUUUACUUAAUGUAAUUCUAUAUAUAUCCUCUCAUAUACUAUAAAAUAUAAAAUUAUAACUAUCAUAUUCAAUUAGGAACUAAAAUCAUUAAAGUUGAAGAGAUUAUAAUUAUUAUUGAUUAUAUUAAGAUAACAAAAUAAAAAUAUUUAUUUUAGUUGUCAACUAUUGUCUACACAAUAAAAAAAAUUAUUUAUACAUGUUUAUAAAUGUCUAUAUAAAUUUUAUUCAACAUUAUAUUUAUUCUCAUCAUUUUCAUUCUUAUAAUAGAUUAAUAUAAAAAGAUGAUUUAAAACUCACAGUAUUUUAAAAAAUAAAAUUUAUCAAAUAUUUAAUUUAUUCUCUUUAAAUAUACUUAUUCUUAUUGCACAACUAGCAUCAAUUGUUUUAAAAGUUACAACAUUACCAAACUGGUCUUGAGAUGGGACAAGGCCUUUCCUGUUGCAUGCUAACUUUAUUAUUGAUUUUUUAUCUGAUAAUAUUUUAUUGUUAUUUUUUCAAUUGCUGUUGGAGGGAUAUUAUUACUAGCAUUUAAUUCCAAAACAAUAAUUUAUUAUUUUGAUACUUGGGAGGCCAACAAGACAAAGAUCCUGUAACCUGAAGAAUUAUUUUAAGAAUAUUUAAGAUAUACAUAUAUAAUUAAUAUGAGAAUUAGAGACGACAAUAUUCUGUUAGGUCUAUACCCAUCGGUCGUCGAUUAAUUCGGGUUGGGUAUGGGUCUCCGAAAAACUUCAAAAUUGAAAACGGGUCUAUUUAGGGAUUAGUCCAAGCUCCAAAUAUAUUUCGGUUUAGGUUUGAGUUAUCGGGCCCCAAAUCCAAAACCAAACUCGAACUAUUAUUUUUUUAAACAAAAUAUAUUUUAAUUUAAUCAAAUAAUAUAAAAAUUUAACAAAACCAUGUAUCUAAACUCACCAAUUCACAGCCUCGCCACCUUCUCUACCAUUUGAUCAAUCAAGGUAAUUUUUUUUUGCAGCAUUUUAACAUAUGAUAUCACUGAAAAUAAAAUAAAAAAUAAAAAUAAAUAAGAAGAAGAAUAGUUGAAGAAGGCCAAUUAAUUGCUUGUGUUUUCAUGCACAAAUAAGUCCAUAUAAUUUACAAAUAGAGAUGGCAAUAAGACGGGUUCGGGGCGGGGUUCAUGAUCCUCAAACCCAAAAUUAAUUUGAAGGCAAUCCCCAAACUCGUCCCAUACUCAAAAAAUUAUAAUUGGGGAUAAUUCGCGUAUGUCCCCAAAACUCUCCGAAUUCGGCAAGAAUUAAAAUGGGACCCGAUCUCCAUUUAGUUUCUUUUUUUUUUUUAAAUAAUUUUAAAUAUUCGGGAUUUUGGGUCUUUAAGUUCAACAAAUUAAUGAUUUCAUAUUAUGUAGCGGGACCUGAAAACAUUAUCCAUAUAAAUUUUGCAGAUCUGAACCAUGCUUACAUUCUCUUAGAUCUUCAUGUUAAACAUUUUAAAGUAGAUUUUGCUGCAAAAUCUACUUUGACAUUAUCAAUUAAGCUUAUAAUCAUAUUUAUGGCCUGGAAAAUUACAAAACCCAUCAAUUUUAUAGCCAGCUUUUUAGAAAACCCAUUAUUCAAGACAUUGACAUCUUAUCCUAGUUCCUAGCUAUUUAAUAAAAUUAUCUGUAUUAUAAAUGAUCAAAGUUCAUGGCGUUUUAUCUUGAAUUUAAGUUAUUCAACAGUCAAAAUUUUGUGCAUAUUGUCUGUAUUAUAAAUUAUCAAAGUUCAUGGCGUUUAUCUUGAAUUUAAGUUAUUUAACAGUCAAAAUUUUGUGCAUAUGUGCUUGUCGUUACUUCAGAUUAAUUAUAGCUUAUCUUGAAUUUAAGUUAUUUAACAGUCAAAAUUUUUGUAAACAUGUGCUUGUCGUUACUUCAGAUUAAUUAUAGUAUCUCAUUUUUUCCUGAUAAUCAAAUUCAUGACUCGUGGAUGGAAAAAGAGAGCACUGGUGCAUGAAUUUUUAACUAUAUUUUUUUCAAUCAAGGUAAUUUUUUUCUUUUUUUUUGCAUUAUUUUAACGGAUCAGGCUACGGUGUAACUGUGGUAUCGUGCCACAGUUGCAUCCAGUCGUUGGAUGCACUUGGAUUGGUGGGGUCUUGGCAUCCAACAGCUGGAUACAACUGUAGUACGGUAACACAGUUACACCACAGUUUUCCCUAUUUUAACAUAUAAUAUCACUGUAAAUAAAAUAAAAAAUAAAAAUAAAUAAGAAGAAGAAGAAGAAGAGUUGAAGAAGGCCAAUUAAUUGCUCGUGGUUUGAUGCACAAAAAGGCCCAUAUGAUUUACAAAAUAGUUAGAAAUUCAUGCACCAGUGCUCUCUUUUUCCAUCCACGAGUCACGAAUUUGAUUAUCAGGAAAAAAUGAGAUACUAUAAUUAAUCUGAAGUAACGACAAGCACAUGUUUACAAAAAUUUUGACUGUUAAAUAACUUAAAUUCAAGAUAAGACGCCAUGAACUUUGAUAAUUUAUAAUACAGACAAUUUUAUUAAUUAGGUAGGAUAAGAUGUCAAUGUCUUGAAUAAUGGGUUUUCUUAAAAAGCUGGCAAUAAAAUCGAUGGGUUUUGUAAUUUUCCAGGCCAUAAUUAUGAUUAUAAGCCCUAAUUGAUAAUGUCCAGGUAGAUUUUGCAGCAAAAUCUACUUUAACAUUAAUUGUUUAUCAUGAAGAUCGAAGACAAUGUAAGCAUGGUUCAGAUUUGCAAAUUUUUUUGGUUAAUGUAUUUAGGUGCCGCUACAUAACAUGAAAUCAUUAAUUUGUUGAAAUUAAAGACCCGAAAUAUUGAAUAUUUAAAAUUAUUAUUAUUUUUUUAAAAUGAGGAUCGGGUCCCUAUUUUAAUUCCUAUCUACUUCGAAGAUUUUCGAGAAUAUACCUAUAUUAUCUUCAAUUACAAUUUUUUGAAUAUAAAGCGGGUUUGGAGAUUGCUUCUAAAUUGAGUUUAAAUUUGGAGAUCAUGAUUUCCGUCCAUUGCCAUCAGUAAUGAAAAUCCCUCUAAAUUUUUGUCUGAUUCUGAAAUUUAAAAACAAAAUUGGGUAAAAAAUUUGAUGAGUGAUUAUCAAGUAAUCUACCCACAAUCGCAAAGAUGCACUAAUAUUUAGAUUAACCAAGAUUCUUAUUUUCCAUUUUUCACUUGUAAGAUAAAAAAACGUGUGAACGAGAGAAAUGAAGAGUUCAAAAAAGAAAAAGAAAAAUUGACUGCAUGUAGGUAAAGUCAAGAUUCAAAGACAAAGCUGAGAAUGGGCUGAGCUUGCUUACAAGAUUGGUCCAAUCAAUUCUUGUGAGCCCAAAAGAUUAAUUCUAUUGGGCCCCAUCAGAUUCGUUCGAAUCGGGUCAGAAAAUUCGGAUCCAGUCAAGGGCUAAAUUCGUUUACCAACACCACGCUGUCUCUGCUCUGUAAAACUGAGAAGUGUCACCCUUUGGAGUCCGCAACAAAAACAAAAGUUAGGGUUUUCAUCAGGACGAGAAUCCGAUUUUAUUAUUAAGAAAGAUCAAAAAAAUGGACGGAGCAGAUGGAGGGGAAGUGGAUAGAAUUGUGGAUUCAAAGGACCUACAGCAACAGAGUAAAGCUCUCGACAAGCUUACCGACCGUGUCGAGGAUCGCCAGCUCGAUUCCACUCGUGUGCAAGAGGUAAAUUAAUUAAUUUAAAUUAGAUAUUAAACGUAUUUAAAUUCCAUCAUUAAUGUGAUAAUUUCGUUAAAACAGAAUUUUUUAAAAAUGUUGUGAUAUUGCAGGCUAUGGCCUCCAUUGCUGCAUCAAAAGCAGGUGACUUGAAUGCUAUGAGAAUGAGGUUUGACUUUAUAAUAUAUUAUUAUUAUUAUUAUUAUUGGCAGUAGCUAGCUAGUUGAUUCGAACUGCUUGGAUUGCUUUUGCUGCAUAGUUUGUUUAUCUGGAGUGUGUGGGUGUGUGUGUAUAUCAACUGAACUAUUUACCAAAGCUUUAAUCUCCAGAAAUAUAUAAAUGAGUAACCAAAGAUAGGACUAAUAGUCUGAAGAUGUUGAUUAGUUGAGGAAUCUGUUAUUUAUUGUAAUAGCACUUAACAACCUUUUAUACUUAAUAGAGUUCAUUUAGAAGGAGAAAUUCUCAGUGAAUAACUACUAGUACUGUUGACAUUAACAUGUACCGUAAAACUGUAUAGUUUUAACAUAACUGCUAGCAGUUUGAACCGGAUACUAAGCACCCUUAUCAGAAAUGUACUUUGGUAAAACCGAUAAUACACAAUGACCUCUAUUAGGCGUAUCUUUGUAAUAGCAGUUAUAUUCAGGUCUUCUGAGGUGUGCUACUGGGGCUCAUCAUGAGCUCAAGUAUGACUACUCGUUGAGACCGCAAUCAUCAGCAUAUGAUGAGCUUGCUGGUUAGACCAUCACAUCAUAAUGCAGUUAUGUAUUCUUUAUCCAAUGGUUUAACAACAUAAUUCGCUAUAAUCGUGAUAAUUUAUUUUUAUCUUUCGGGUGUAUUGUGUUUCUUGAAGUAUCAUUUUAGAAAUCUGGACUUUUUAGUUAUAUGAUUUCAGUUAUUUCCUCUUUUACUUAGGAAGUUGUAUUCAUAUCCAUUUCUCAACAGAAUUUAGGUUAGCUUUUAGUUGCGUGAUCUUGACAUUGGUUGACUGUUGCAUGAACUCUGAAAAUUUAGUACCCUCAUUUUGUGAAUUUCUUUUAUCCAUUGACUUUUGUAUUUGGCAUGCCAAUAAUUUAAGCAAAUCAUAUUUUUGUUACUUACAGGGAGAAAGAAUUAGCUGCUGUUAAGAUCAAUGCAGCUGAUGUCGACAUAAUUGCAAAUGAACUAGAGGUCUGUUUCCCUCUUUGCAAGUCUUUAACACAAAUCCCUUUGCAUCUGCCAAAUGGUUCUAAUAUUUGUCUUUUCUUUGAUGUUGAGAACAGUUGGACAAGAAGGUGGCUGAGAGAACCCUACGCGAGCACAAGGGUGAUGCUGUUGCUGCCAUACGACACUUGCUUCGCUAGAGAACCACCAGCCCAGAGUUGGAAUUUUCUAAAAAUUCUGAGAAUCACAUUUAUUUCUGAAAAAUCAACCCAAAUACAUACAGCUAAGCCUUUUAUUCCUCCUCGCUGUCUGUAUAAUCUAUAGCCAAAACCAUUUGCCUUAGAAUUGAAGCAUGUUCUCAAGGUUGUUUGCUCUAAUGCCCAUUGCUUUUGUCAUGCCAAAUGCUGGUAUCAUUCGGGGAUAGCAAUCGAUGAUUGAUGAUUGAUAAUUGAUGGUCAACGAUUGAUGGUUUAUAAUUGAUAGUCGAUGAUUGUUGAUUUAAUGCCGUUCUACCUUUUAUCCGCAUUGCGUACCAUCUUAUCUUCAACUAAUAAAUGCCCAAAAGAAAUUUGUGGGGCUUAACACUUAGUAGGCCACAGCAAUGUUUGGGCUUCUUCCGAAGCCUUAAGGCCCGAAAGCUCUAGCAAUCACUUUCUGCUUGCGCAAUGUUUCGCCUAAUGGAGGCCUAUUCUCAUUUUGUUUAAAACAUUGAGGCCUUUUGAUUUAAACUCUCAGGGUUUUAAAGUAUCGAUCACGUAUCUAAUCAUAUUAUCAGUCAUAUGUUUAUAUCUAUCUUGAAAGAUUCAUAUUAUGAGAGAAUCUUGCUCUAAGAAAGCAGCAAGCACCACAAUUGAGUAAAAUUGCAUUUGCCAAAAUAUCUUCUUGGAAAAAAAAAAAUUUAUAUAAAAGAUAUCUCAUGUUUUGAUUUACCGAUAUCAGAAUAAAGAAUUUAAAGGUCAUUGUUGGACAAAAAUAUAAUAGGUCCCACUACGGCUCAAAUAAAUUUAGUUUCUAUACAGACCAUGAAGAAAUAAAAACCUAGUAGAAACCUACUAGGUGGCAAGACUUCAGGGAGCAAAAGGUUCUUAAGGUUUCUAGAAUCUUACUUUAAAACAACUACUUAGGAUAAACCUUCUAUGUUCCAAGGACAAAUCAUUUAAUACAAACCCCUAAAGGUUAUAAGGUUUAUAGGAUCCUAUUUUAGGAUAAACUUCCGAGGUUCCAAAGUUCUUAUGAUCACAGGAUCUUAGAAAAAAAACAACCCCAGAUUAAAAUGCUUCCUCGUUUAUUAUGUAGACAAGCUUGUAUGUUCAUGUGUCAAUUGGCAUAGGCACAAGAAGAUAAAUGUUGCCAAAUGUCACAAAAAUAAUGACACUUCUCAUCAAAGUAAUUAGAACUCAAGUCGAAUCAAUUUCAUCUACAAAUCUCACCAAACUAAAACUCAAGUCUAAUCAAUUUCAUCUAUAAAUGUCUCAUAUUCGCAUUGAAAGGUAAGAAAAAAAUUGACUCAAGAGGAGAAAUGUUGACUUUCUUUCUCUAAAUUUAUAUUUUUAAAAAUCUAGUGAUUGACUCGACCGUCAGAGGGUUUAAGCUGAUAAAGCUGGCGCUCUAAUCGUUUUCUUAUGUUUGCAAAGCAUUAUCGGGCAAAGAUAUCCUCAUCCCUUGAGGAAGUGGACUUCUAAGAGAAAAUUCAAAGGCUUAUUAGGAUCAAUAAGGAAAAAUUUAUCAUCGUAUCUAAUAAAGGGAAGCCCAGUCUUAAUGGAGUCAUCUUAAGUUAAAAUUAUCAUAUAAUUAGUUGGGAUAAAAUUUACACCAACAAUCAUGAUGAAUUUUCAACCAUGCGCUGACAUGGAAGAGUUAUUGCUUCACUAAGUGCACGUAAUUAGCAAGAUCAUGCGUACGGUUUAUAGAGAAUCUUGAGCGAAGAUUAUAGCCUCUCGUACAUUAGUUUCAUAGUGGAAUCAUACCGUAGAACAGUAAUUUUAAUUGUAUCUGCUCCACAAUUGCUGCUUGACGCAGACCGGCAAAUAAAUAAACAAAGCUAAAAAUGUUUUUGAGUCAUUACGCACAUAGAAUCUUUUAGCUGACAAUAAAAAUCAAUGUGGAGUUGGUAAAGAGUUGGUACAGACUGAGACCCAGCAAUAAAAGAAUGGCAACGCCACAACACCUCUACCCUCAUUCUCCAUUAAAAAAAAGAAACAAAAAAAUCUGUCAUGUUUCAAUUGGAACAUUCCAAAUUAUUUUUAACUUCAACUUAAUAGAAAAUUUAAAAAUAUAAUGGACAAUCUAAGGUUCUCAACGGAGAGUGAAGGCUCCGUAAUCCGUACCAAACAAAACAAAGUUGUAGUGUACACAUACUCCAAACGUAAACUAAUUGAACAUGUACCCCAACAACAAACUUAAAACGGUAUGAUGAAACGCAUCAUUUAAAAUUACGGGUUUGCUAAAGCUGAAAAAGAAAGCAUGUAUUGACAGUACAAAUGUUAAUAUCACUAAUCACUCUAUUUACUGGAGUGAAAAUUUGUGCUUUUUUCUGUACAACUUUCGUAAAGAGGUCCUGACAUUUCUCUCAUGCAGAGCCUCGAAUGGGUGACGUGAUUCCACCAAACAUGACUCCAGAUCACAAAGCACUACUGACAGAUACUGAAGAUUUUUGCUACAUCAGGUUAUAUAAAUAAAUAAACAUUUCACAGCCAAGCAAACUAGCAAAGCAAUCACCAUCAAAAUUAGACAGCUCACAUUAUGCCAACUACCAACCCUUUGGCCUUUUUAACUUUUUUUUUUUUUAUUUCUUUCAUUGUCUGGUAGCUAUGCGGCGCCAAUAGCACAAGCCUUUUGAGUGGCAAAUCUGUUGUAACCAGCUGUUUACCAGCCAAGAAAGUAAAUCUUUUGUGAAAAAUAAUGCCUGAUUCUUCUACUUGCAAUGACGUUGUUUCAGCAACGGAACAGGGAAACAAUGUGAAUAUGGUCUACAAUUCCUUCUGGGUGCUAUCUCCUACUGUUGAUCGAGAUGCCUGGAAGUAUUGUCUCUGCAGAUCUCGAAGCUUGUCCACCAGUUCCUGGAAUGAUGGCCUGCACUGUGGAUCACUGGUCCGACAAAGAGGAUCCACAUAUUAGCCAUAAUAAAAAUUUGUGUAUGUUCUAUGCUAAGGAACUACUAAAGAAAAAUGAAUAUAAAAGGAUUUAACCAUUGAAUAAGAUGAUGUCCCAAUCAUAACUACACUGACUUAAUGUAAGGAUUCCCGAAUUCCAACACCACUAAAGGUAUGGGAAUCCAUGAGAUCAAAUGCACUUAGACAGCUAUUAGUUAAGAGGACGAACUCAAACCUAAGCCACUAAUGUUACUCGACUAUAAGGAAGUUAUUGCACCAAAUCAUGAGCUCCUUAUUGGGCCACAGCAUUCUACCCCAACAUUCAUGGUUUUCAGAAAAAUCUCUUGUAAGCUGGGAAAAAUUGUAAUUGACAAAGAGGAAAUGGCAGUAUAUUUGUUGGUAUGCUCAUAACAUGGGCACAUGUAAUCAGAUUAAUUACCCCUAACAAUAUCUUCAUCCAUCAUGAUCAAUGACUGAAUUUCUCAUUUAUUUUUUCUGGAGGGCCUUUAUGGGAAGGUCAGAGAAGGUUCUAGAUAAAUGAAUAAAUAAGCACCUGUGCCAGCAGCUCUCAACUAUAGCAGCCCACCGUGGAUCCACAUCUUUUGGGAUCUCUAAGCGUUGGUUCAUGAACCCUACAGCUCCAAUCACCUGCAAGAAUCCUAAAAAAAUUGUUGUUCAUAUACAGAAAAUGCAUUUUAUCAUUACUGUUUAACAAGUUGGGGUACCAGAAAGAUUCAUUUAGAAUGCAUAUCAUGACCAUAAUUCCUCAGCCUGAGUAAUUUAACUUAAAAGGAAUGUCCAGAUAAUUUUGCAAAUGACAAACUGUACCUGCAUUGAGUUGAGAUUAUCCCAAGGGAUCUUCUCAGUGGCGAGCUCCCAUAAUAUAACUCCAAAGCUGUAUACAUCAGACCUAAUUUAAGGCAGCAAGAAAGAAUCCAUUAAGUUCGGCAUUUCAGGGGAAAAGCAGAGGCAACAUAAGGAGGGGAUUAUUUAAAUAAGAAGAUUCACAGUCAACUAAAUUUAUUUCUUUUCCCAGUUCAAAUAGUUCACUUACUUCUCAUCGGAGGGUUCAUUUCGGAGAACUUCCGGUGCCAUCCAUUGAGGCUAGAAAAGUUAAAAGGGGUAAACUGGUUAGAUUGGGGGUCAACUGAAAACUCAAAUUGCAAGGAAGCAUUAUAUAAAAAGUAAAUGGACUUAUUAGAUUGAUAAAAUAAAGGUCAGGAUGCAAGAUAAGUUACAGUUCCCUUCCCAGUCUUGGUGGUGAGAUAUGUCUCAUGCUUCAGACGUGACAGACCAAAAUCACCAACCUGUUUCACAUCAUAAUUAGAUAAGCUUUUUACUUAAUUACAAAUAUGAAUACAGAAAUUCCAAGGCAAUGGGAUCAAAAUGGUGAAAAAAAAUGGUAAAAACAAAAAUAUACAAAUUAAUGGCAGACCUUGACAGUCCAGUGUUUAUCAACUAGAAGAUUUGAAGACUUCAAAUCGCGAUGAAUGAUUGGUGGGUUGCAAUGAUGAAGAUAACUCACGCCACGUGCCUGCAACAAAUUGAAGCAAUAAAAGAAAACAUGAAUUAGUCAUGAGUUAGACCAAAGGAAGUACUAUCAAGCUAUACACACACGAGUCACUACCAUCAUGCCUAACACGUUGCAAAAAGAGACAUUACAUGAGGAAACAACACCAAACAAGUGCAAACACGUGGUACCACUGUACCCAAUAUGAUCUAAUCACCACAAUGAAAAUAAAAAAAUUCAAAAAUACUUAUUACUUACUAUAUCCAAAGCCAUAAGAAUACGCCGUCUCCAGUCCAGUUUGGUUGUGUUCCUCUGGAGCAAGCGAAACAAACUUCCUCUGCAUCAAUAACAUAUAAAUUUAAGUGAUGACCUUCGGCCCAAGGAGAGGACCAUGUUUUAAAAUUCCAAACAUAUUAAAUCAAUAGGAGUUCUACCCUGCAGAAUAUUAGGAGUCAUUGGAUGGGUGAACGGGGGAAAAGAAUAUCAUAGUGCUUCUGAAGUGAAGUAUUAAUCAAGGGAUUUAAGAACAUACCGUGGAAGGAACUCAGUAACAAUGCAUAGGCGCUGAGGUGAGGUCACAGCACCCAUAAACAACAGAACAUUUGGAUGUCGAAGUCUUUUCAUCAGAGAUACCUUCAUAGACAAACCAUAGAAAAAACAAGGCAAGUAAAAAAGCAACAAAUUAUAUUGAGAAAGAAAUUCACAGCAAGCGAUAAUCAUAAACAAGUUAAGAGGAAUCAAUGCAAAAGCACACCUCCUGUCUGAAGGAAUGUAUCACUUCAUCUGAAUAUUCCUGCCUAGAGAAUACCUUGACAGCCACAUCCUGCUAUAACACGUAGAUCACUGAAUUACACAUUUUAUCACGUGAAAAUUUUAUUUUGAUUGUUCCUUUUUCCAUCUAAAUACAAAAAACAUUAAGCUUAAGAAAAAUCCCAGGUGCUACACCGACAGCACUAUUUGCUAAAAUGUAAAAGAGCAGGGUGAAAACUUAUUGCACAAGUACAAACUAUAAGUUUGGGUUAAUUUGUAAAAUUUUAUCCAUAGGCAUAAAAAAAACUGGAAAACCUAUAUUUGGCAUAUAAGUGAAGGGGCAAGAGGUCUCGGGUAUUUUGUGCAAGCAAAAAUCUAGCAACAGUCUGUCAUUGGAAUGCAUGAUACCUCAUAUCAAAUAAUUCAGUAGGGAUAGUAUAAUCAAUUUAUGCAUGUUAAACUGAAUUAUUUAUUUUUUAAAUAUUAUUAUUUUUUAAAGCAGUUAAAUGGAAUUAGUUAAUCAAAAGUAGAGAAAUAGGACAUACUGAUCCAUACCACACGGCAUGGUACACAGUGCCACAAGAACCUGCGGAGAUAGGGGAAAAAUUUAGCAUUUUAUUAUCAAAAUGACACAUAAACAAGCAAAAGCAGAAGCAAAGCCAAGAUAUCUGCUGAGAUUCUGAAAAACAAAAAGGAACCGCAACCAUUGGCAAUGAACAAAAUCAUAGCUAAUGACCAAUUACCGUUCAACAAAAAUUCAUGAUUAUCAAAAUCCAAUAACAAUGCUGAGUAAAAAUUAGUCAUAAAUAAGUCAUGCCACUUAAGAACGUAAUAUUCUAGUCAUUCAUCGAAUAUCUUGCGAGCUUUAAAUGAUAUUACUAUUGCCAUUCACUUGAAAGAAGGUUACCUUGUCCAAUUUGUUCUCCGAUCGUCAAGUCUUCCCACAAUAUUUCAUAAUCCAAGCAGUCAUUGUCCAAAUCCACCUUAUUAACAGCACUACUGCUGGUACUUCCACAGCUGCUAACACUGCUUGUGCUGUUAACAUUAACAGAUGAGGACCAUGACCCCCAGGCUUCAUUAUUGACAGACCUAUUUCCUUCGUACAUGUGGCUUUCAGGUUUUGUACCAUAAGAGGGACUCUUCUGCUGAACUGAUUCAUUGUCUUGAUCACCAUGCGACCACGGCCAAGCAAAACGAGCAGUCUUUGCAUCUGAACCUUCCCGCUCAUUCCCUUUCCACGGCCAUGAUAAACCUUUCUUCCCCAUCCAUUGCUCAGCCUUAGAUGUAAUAAUCUUGUGAAUAGCAGGCUUUCCUUCACUCUCAUCACCAGAAUCUCUUACAGAUUUUCCUGGGGACUUCUCGUCAACAUGAGAAAAUACCCCAAAAGGACAUGGGGGUACGUCUCCUCUGGGUGUGCUAGCACCACUGGACAUUCCAUCGUCCCUAUGGUCAGAGAGGGCAGCAUCAGAGAAUCCAUGAUCAGAAUGAUGACUAUCUCCACUUCCACCUUCGCGAUCCAUGAAAUUAUCCCCUGUCCGAAUCCUCGACUUAACUUUGUUGCUCACCUUGGUGGCCUGCUUUUAAUAGUUCCACAAUCAAAAUAUGCCAAUCUAAAGCAAAAAGUGCAAAAACCAAAAGCAAAACUAACCAAAUUUGAUAUCUUUGAAGCAAUUGUAGCUUGCAGAGGCUGCUGAGAAUCAAGCCCAAGUUUAGCUGUAACAGUAUUCCUAGGCCUGUUAAUGUUGGAAUCAGUAUCCGAAUUCUUAGUAUCCCACAAUGCAGCUCUUGUUUCUUGAAACGGCCGAGAAUCAGUAGACACACAAACGAUCCCAACCAAAGUACCAUCAUCAUCAUAGAAUGGGGUAUUAGUUGCCACAACUAAAACCCUUUCCUCCGUUUUAGUCUUUGCCGGAAACUGCCCUGUCCACCUCUCUCCCAUCUUUAUACGAUGAACUAUAUCGUAGGCCACAUCAAAGUCCCGACCAUCAGUUAAAAGUUCAAUAGCAUCCUGACCAAGUGCCUCCUCAGCUGAGUAACCAUAAAGCAAUUCCGCUGACCGGUUCCUGCAUAAGCAAGCAUUCGCAAAUAAAAUACCCCUAACUUCAAAUUAAUACUUAAAAACACAUUUUCAUCUAUUCUUUAAUUUAAUCACAACCUCACUUCAUCAAAGCCAAUUAUAAUAGUUAUACUCACCAAUAAAUAAUACGAUCGCUAAGAUCAAAUAUAUGAACAGAUUGCCCCAUAGAUUGCAAAAUAUUCAAAUACUGCCUAUCAGUAAAGUUAAAAGCCGAUGGUCCACUGUUACUAUUUCCAGCAGCAUCACUACCACCACUAUCGCCGCCUUUGCUUUCGCGUUGCAACGGCGAGGAAUGUCUAAACGACGCCGAAUUGCUAGCCUUCCACGCUGAAGCAGCGUCCGGUCCCGUCCCGCCCCCUUUUCUCCUGGAAGCGGGCCCCGCCAACCUCGGCCGCCUCGGCGACACCGAAUGCGACCUCUGUUGGUGGUGAGUCGUAGUAGUAGUAGUAGUAAUAGUUUCCGAUUUCGGAUCGUUUGAGAUUUUCAACUUGGACAGCUCUUGCUUCAAGUGCUCUUGUCCAGCUUCUAGCUCUUGAAUCUUUCUUAGGAGCUCUUCAGCUGGCCCCGUGUUUGCGUCCAUUACAAGUCAAAAACAAAUACAAAACAAAUAUGUAUAAAGUUUCAAAGAUUCAAGAAACUUACGACUCCGAAGUCCAAACAAAACGAAGCUUUGUUUGUACAAGGAGAAAUGAAAAAUCAGUAUUCAUUUACUGAAUUUUUUUAUUUUAAUUUUCAUAUAUGUCUUGAAAACACUCUCUAGAAACUCCUCUUAUCUAAUUUGUGCAGUCAAUUCAUUGCAAUGAAAAUGAAUGAAGAAGAAAACAAGAAGCUCUCUCUCUCUCUCUCUCUUUUAUUUGGGGCUAAUUUUUAUUUUUUAAAUAUAUCUCUUUUUCAACUCCUUCCUUUUCCUUUCUUUUUAGGUCUUCAUUUCAUUUUGUUUAUUCUGCCUUCCUUUCUUUCUUUCUUCAACUUUCUCUCUCUUGUUUUGGGCGGUUUGGUUUUGUUUUUAUAUUGAGAAUAAUAACAAUGGGAUUCCUAGUUCUUUAUAUUUUCAAAAUUAAUGUUAUUGUUUAUCCAUUUCUACCAACUAGGUUCCUAACCCCACCACCAUCGCAAUUAACAUAUAAUAUUAGAUUUUUAGAAGAAUAGUCAAAAUUCAGUUUACUUCAAUUUUUGUGGUAAUGGAGUAAAGAUGAAAAUUACUAAUUUUUUAUACUUUUGAUUUAUGUGUUGAUUUUUCUUUUUCUUUUUCUUUUUUUACAAUGAAUUAAAAUCGAACUGAAUUGAUCAGUCCGUUCAAUUUAAUUCAAUUAUGUUAUUUUUUUAUCCACUUUUAAUUAUGGUCUUCUCAAAAAAUAAGAGUACAUGAAUGGUAACAAAUUAGUUCAGGCCAAAAAAAAAAAUAAAAAAUAAAAAAGUUUGAUUUGAUUUUUCUAAUUUUGAUGAUGUUAAAAGAAAAUAUAAUUUAAAUCCAAACAAGAUAGGGCUCACUGAGAAUGAACAUUAAUUAUAAAAAUGAUAAAAUUAAUCAUAAUUAUUAUAAUAAGUGGGAUUCAAAAAAUAAGUAAUUUGAUAAAAAUAAAAAAUUCAAUAGAUUUUGGAGGAUAUAAAAAUAAGUUCGAAUUAAUAAUGAGAUUAUUUGUGAUUCCCGGAAAUUUGGAUUUAUUUUUGCACAAAUGAACAAACUAUGUAAUCUUUUGUGAAAACAUAGAAAAGCAGGGGGAUCCUGGUGUUAUUACUCCUUUGUGUUUUAUUGAAUUUCACCUUUUAUUUUCUUUUUGUUUCUCUCUCAUCUAUCUCUCCAUUAUCAUUUGACUCCAACUAUUUAUUAGACCAGAGCCGGAUGUUUAUUUAUUCUACAGACCAAGCCGCUCUUUCCACGCGCCAAAAAAUCACGUGGAAAGUCAUGGCCUAUCGCGGUGCCUGAUUUUUAACUACUGGUCCAAUACUCUUGGCGCGUUUAGUACAAUCAAGAUUGGGAAUAUGUUGAAACUUAUUCGACUUUUAAUAUUAUGGCUUCUCCUUUUCAGCCAAAAGGCCUCCAUAUUGGGCUGCCCUAAAAGCGUAUAUUUUCACUUCUGUUUCCGAUACUUCCACGACACCCAUCUUUUGUGAGUUCAUGCAGAGUCAUUUAGAUAAUAAUAAUAUUAUUAUUACUUUUAAUAAUGGGUUUAAUAUAAUACCCAAAUUGAGGUUAGCUUCAUUCUUGGAUUACCUAAACAGCAAUUGCACAUUCAUUGGACUGACUUGGAUUUCACAACACAAUGAACUCACACCAUUGUUGAAAUAAAUUAAUGUCAAUUGUUACCUAGUAAAAAAAGUACUUCCCCGAUUAAUUAGCUAAAUUCAACUAGUAAAAUUUCAUUGAGUACUACAAAGGAAAAAAAAAACUCGAUUUGAGAUAAAUUUAUAAAGGAAUAACUAAAUUCAACCUGAUAAAUUCAAAAAAUCAUGAAUUAAAUCGUUAAUUUUUUAAUUUUAUUUGCAAAAGAGUCAAGAAUCGAUUGAUCAAUUUUUACAUGAUUAGUUGUGAAAUAUAUGUGAAAAUAAUCUAACGGAUAAAAAAAACGUACACUAAAAGACCUAAAACUCUCCCCUCUCCUAGUAGGUCAAAACAUUUCAAAUCGAAUUCCACUCGAACAAAGAAAAAAGAGACCUUAAACUAAUGCAAACGGGUACAAUUAGAAAAUGUAGUUUUGUUGUAUAGAGCGGCUUAAGAAGAGAAAAAUUAAGUUUGCUUUUGGGCAAGUCGAUCUUGAAAAAUGGGUCCGACUACGGUAUAAUAGUGGUACCAUACUACUAUUGUAUUCAGUCAUUAAAUUUAAUUAAAUAAAUAAAUCUAUUGAGAUUUAAUUAAAUAAAUGAAUCUAUUGAGAUUCAAUGGUGCACCGUAAAAAAGUUUUCUGCUCAAAGAAUUAUGCUUGAAAAGGAGAAGAAUCUUUAUGGCAACACUUUUUAAUUAUUAAUAUGUCUAAUAAAUAAGUCUCCAAGUCGUCAAAUUUCAAUUCAUUCAAUCUGAACUUCCUGCAAGAGAAAGCAAGCAGGAAUUAUAGCUCUGACUUUUUCCUUUUUUUUUUUCCAGACCCAUAUACAAUGUAGCGAUUUCCGUGUCCUCUUUCUUUAUCUUGGUCUUAUCUUAUCAAUUUUUUUUUUUUGGGAACUUGGAAACGAGUGUCACUCUAGAAACUUGUUUUUUUUUUUUUUCUUUUUUAGGUGUUUAAAUCUUUGUUUGCGUGCACAGCAUCAUUAAGCUCAGGGGGGCGCACGCACACAAAUUUAGUGUGACAAGAGACAGAGGCCCAGUUUAAUUUAUGGCUGUCAAAAAGUUUUCUAAAAAAUGGAAACUUCCAAAGCGUUUAUUGCGAUGCAUGCCAUCUGCCCAUCUCGUUAUCUUCUUCAUGCGUGACCCAUAAAUUUGGAGAUAAUGUUGUAAAACUCAACAUUCUAUUACAACUUUGAAUCGAUUGACCUUUUUCAAGUUCUGCCUCAUCACUAAUCAGACAGCAAAUGCCUCUGGCUUUUUCAUUUUUGGAACCUGUUUGGUAGGCUGCUUACAUAAGAUUUUACAUUGAAUCUCGCCUUGGAAUUAGGUGAGCGAACCAUUUUGUUUUGGAAAAUUAAGUCUAUAUAAACUUAUCAAGUUGUGUUUCUCAUUUGUUAAAGAUAUUCUUAUUUUUGCCUGCAAAUGGUCAUCUGGGUCAUUAUACGGGUGGGCAUUCGCGUUUUGGUUGGUCCUAAUUGUUAGCAAAGCUCAUGAACUUAUCCAUAUUCUUCUUCUUAUCUUCUGAGUUGCCCUAUUUAUAUGGAACGUACAAAUUCCACCACGUGAGCAAGAGAAUUUACAUUAUCGAACAUGAGAUAAAGUUCUAGCAUUCAGGGAGUAACACCGGACGAUAUGUUACAAUUAUCAUGGGAGCUUGAUAUGGUACACAUGUAAUAUAAUCUAGAAUACAUGCUUACAACAGGGGAAACAAGUAAUUUAAUCCGCCAGUCCGCCAUGACUUUUUGUUGUGAAACCUCUACAACCUACAAGACUACAACAAUCUCAAGUGAACCCAGUCAUCUGAAUCCUUGAUACGUGAGGCCGCACAACAUUCAUGAGAUCUGGAAGCUUCAUGUGCAAGGAUGUUGAUAACAUUACAGAGCUGGGUAACCAAAAGUUCAUAGGAUUAUUAAUGCCCAUUGGCCAAAUCUACCUGGGUUAUGCAUUACAUCUUCAAAACUAUAUGGAGGAUUAGGCACCUGACGUUAAGUCCGAGAAAGGUCCUGAUUUUGUGCAUCUCAAGUGGGAAUAAUCUAGUCAGUGAUACUCUUUGAGCCUCUCCGAGGCAUGGGAAGUUCAAAAAUAAUUAAGAAAUAGCAUCUUUCGGACUCUCUGAUAUAUUGGACUUCACCAUUCAUUAGCUUCAGAAUCUUCCGGCACAUGCUCAGCCCUAAGCCCUCCUGUGUCAUCCACCGACUGCUAUGGAACAUGUCUUGCACCAGCUCAGGAGGAAGCCCUUCACCAGGGCAUACCAUCCUUUGUAAAGUGCAUUUAUGUUAGUUGACUCAAAGGGCAUCAAGAGGAUUUACAUUUAAAACAAUACUGAACAUAAACAAAUAUCCUCACACUGUCACAAUUCGUGAUUUAUACUUUGCAGUAUACAAUGUCUUCUUACGGACAAAACCAAGAAACAAAAUAUCCUAAUCCAAUAUCAUAGCACAAAACUUAGUCAAGGAAACAGAAAGUAACAAAAGGUUUCUUUACUACACAAUCAACUCUGCACUGAGAGCUACCAAAAGUGAAGGUUGUUUAGUUGCUAUAGCAUGAAAUUUCUACAUAAUAAUUCCAUUAGAGAUUGUUGCAGAACUAAAGGCCGCAGCUGGCAGGUCCAGUCAGACUUGAGAACAAAAUUAUUUAGAUACUGAAAUUUCAAUAUACCAAAGUCAAAGCUCGUGAGUCAAAGUUCAAUCAGUCAACUACCUACUUACCCAAAAAACCAAUGUCCCAACUGUGGCAACUCGAUGCUGCUUAUAAAAUGACAAAAGCUAAAAAGCAAGAUGCAAGAGAAACGCAGCUAUAAUUUCAAAUAUUGCUUGAGUCACCAGGCUUGAAGCAGGCUCAGAAGCCACAAAGAAGUCAAUGAAAUAGAAUGCCCAGGGACCUUAACACUUCAUCUGACAAUUAAGGCUACCUCAAACACACCCAAAAGAAACAAAAAUAAUGAUGUGCAGCCACAAAUCUCCAGUUCAGAUGUUCGCAGGUGGCAGGCCAACCAUGUGGGCCAAAGCAAGGUUAUUUACAAUGCCUAUGAACUUCUACCAAAGUGCAUGUUGCAUAGCCAUAUUGCCCUAAAGCAAAUUAUGAUUUAUACUUGCUAUUAUAUAUAUAUAUAUGACUGAAAAUAUAGAGUUGGUAACUUGAUAAAUUAUCUAGCACAAACAAAAAACUUAACAAAGAUAGAGCAAGACAAAUGAUUCGGUCCAAGUUACAUAGAGAGUCAAGCACUUAAACAAGACUCAUACCCGUGAAAUUAGUGCCAAUAUGUAGUAUGUAUACUGACAAGAUUGGUUCCCAAAUUCACAAGUAUUACUCUUGUGAAUGAUGGAGAUAAAAUACUUCAAAGGAAAUCAUAUCGGAGAACAUUUAUAUAGCCACAGCCAUCACAGUUUCUUACUAUGAAAGUACUAGGAAAGUGUUAUUAAGGUCAUUAGAGUUAAAUGUGAGUGGAGUUACUAAGGCCUUAUUCUUUUUGCUUUCAAUCAAUGACAUGGACCUUUCCACAUGUUAUUAGAAUAACCAAUAAGUAUGAUAUUGAAAUGAGGAUGGGGCAAACAAACCUGAAUUCAUUAUGUACAAUGGUUUGUCCCUCAGAACUUUGCUUCAAUGUUGGACGAACAUGGAUCUCUACCCAACCCUCUGCUGAUGGUGAAUAACGUACCAUAUUCAACAAAAAGUCAGCCAAGACCUGCUGAAUUCUUGCCUGAUCACCAUAAACAGCUAGUGUCUUGAUUUCCUCUGGGAUAUCUCGAAUCAACUGAAGAUUUCUUUCCCUCAGCAACAUCAUCACUUGGCUAACAACAGCAUUUAUGACACUCCCGAGUAAAAAUUCAGCCUUCUCAAACUCCAAUGAACUGACUCCAAAAGUAAAUAAAAAAUGAGAUCAUCUUUCUCAUUAGCAAAAUUUUUCAGGAGGUUCAGAUGAUUAGUAGAAGAAUACACUAGAUUAUAAUAGUUUAGAAAUAAAUAAAAACAGAAGAUCACUAGCAAUAUGAAAAGAAAACAAAAGUCACAAGGAUGAUUAAUCAGUUCUACACUGGAAGAAUGUGGCUGAAAUCCUAAAACCACGACACCCUUAUAUGACAUGGCUUACAAUAAUUGAGUUCUUGUUAACUCUAGUUUCCUACUUGGUAUAACUAGGACAGUCUUCUAGCUACUCUUUCAUUGUAAACGAAGCUUUUGUACAAUACAGAAAGAAAGAAAAGCAAGAACUAUCAACAAACAAAUGAAGAUAAUUUGAAAGCAGCAACACUCAAACAUGUAUAUUUACACGAAAUUAAAACACUUGUUCCUGCAUCACAAUAGAUGUGAUGAGGGUUUUCCAUCAUGAUCAAAGUUAAGACUGUUCACAAGGUGAAAAAAGACUCACCCAUCUUCAAUGCUUUCUAGGUCCACAUCCUUUAUGAUCUUCAACAUCUGCUUCUCACAGGCAGCACUUGUCUCAAGUAACUGUUUCUGAUCUUCUGUCAAGUCAGUGGCCUCCAAGAGUGAGUUAGUAAAGCUCACACCACUCAAUGGAUUCUUUAUUUCCUGGCAAAUGUAAGCCAACUCUUUCAACCUAGCAAAGCACUUCUUUUCCUGUUGCCUCUGAACUGUAAGAGCUUGCUGCAACUCUGGACUAGCAAUUUGCAAGAAGCAGAAAGCUCCUACAAUCUGCCCUUCCAUAUUUACCCUUUUGUUGGCAGUCAAAAGUGCUUGCACAUAUUUUCCAUUCCGGUCAAACAAGGGAAAAGGAAACUUCUCCGUGUCCUGCCCUCCAAAUGCAUUGUGCAAGGCAAUCAUAAAUUUUGUCAAAGCAUCAGGACCCUUGAGACGACAGCAACUUCCGAAAACCUCCCCAACUAACAUCUUCCCAAUAAUAUCUCCUCGACUCCACCCAGUGAGCUUCUCCAUGGCAGUGUUCCACUCCGAGCAACAAGUGUUUUCAUCUGAAGCAAAUAUGGGAGGGAUCAAAGGAUUGGGACUGUGAACAAUGGCCUUGUAAUCACCUUGUAUGUGAAUAAAUUUGUCCAUCACCAAUUUCUGAUCGGUAACAUCCUGACCCACAAAGCAAACUCCAACAAUAUUAUUUGUGUAAUCCUUGCUGGAGCAAGCAUUGACCACCACAAAGACCGCCUUCUUACGAUUUUCUGCACCAAAUGUCCUCAAUUUUAUCUCUACAUUCUUGUCUUCCUCACCUGCACAAGUGAACUUGAGUCAUUUACACUAGUAAAAGCAGUUUCAGAAGCCGACAAUAAGUAUUCUCUUUCAAAUGCUAAUUAAUUAAUCACCAGCCGAUGAGAAGUGUGUGACUGUUACCUUCCAACUUAUGAAUGAGGAGACUCUCACUUUAGACGUAUAUUUCUCAUGUAGAAAACUACUGGGGCAACACAGCCAUGUUCCAGCUAAUUAUUUCAAGGUGGCUGAGUUAGGCUCCUCAUACCAAUCUCAACACUCACCCCACAUUCCUGGUUGAACACUGAAUAAAUUGACCAGUGCCAAUGUACAUAUAUGGAACCACAUAAUGACUUCAAUCAGGUUUGAGACUCUAUUUUACAUCUUUCCCAUCUCAAGCGUCUAAAAUGAACUUUACCAUUUCAUAGCAUGUGCGGACACUAUUUAAGUACAGUCAAUCAAAAGGCACUCAGAGAACACAUGCAAAUUAAAUCAGUGAAACAUGAUUUAUAUUGCAUAUUAGCUACCCAAUUUUCACCCUCAAUAGCAUUGGAGAGCAAAAAUUGACCUGCUUUAAGUUUCCAUUUGUCAUUUCUGUAAACGAUUUUGGCAACACCCAUUUUCAUUUUGGAAAGGUUUCAUUUCUGAUAUGCACACUCAACUGACAAGGAAAAUGGAAUAGAAAUUAUACAUACCUACAAGAUGUCAAAACAUACUUGGAAAAUGCUCUGAAUUAGCACAAGUUAAGAUGCUGGAUAAAGGACUACCUUUUAAAGCAUGAUGAAGAAGAUUGUCAACGAUUUCUUCAUAUUCCUUAUAAACAAGAUCAUGAACCAAGGACUUCCCCAUAGCUUCCUCAACUGACAGCCCAGUCAACUCUGCAACUUUUGCAUUCCACCCAUUGACACGGCCAUGAACAUCAACAGCAAAUAUGGGGGCAGUUGCAGUCUCUAUUAAUCUUACCAUUUCCCUGGCAACUGAACUGAGCUCAUCCACCCCUUGCAACUCUAGAUCUACAAGCUGGGCAUUUACAACAGCCUUAGAAUUGCUUGCUUCAGCGUCCCUAAAUGAGUCUCGCAGAAUCAGCUGCAAAGAAUGAAUUGCAUCCAUUUCUGCAUUAUCCCAUGGCAAACUGCGGCUCUUCACCACUUCCAGAAAUGCCUUGAAUGAAGAACGUGGAUGCAUCCUUUGCCCAUCAUCCUUGUCCUCUGGGUGAUGUUUUGCACCACCCCAUUUGAUCUCCUUUGCUGUGUGGGACCGGAACCAGAAUAGAAAAUCCCUUUUAGUGAUGUAGGCAACAGCCAUUCCACAAACUGCAUCACCAAGUGUGGCUGCCUUAGGGUACCCAGCAUCAGCCAAACUGUCUGUGCUUAAACCAGUUGAGUCUCCAUGGUAAGUCAGCAGCCAUUCCACUAUAUCCUUUAUCUGGGUUUCAGUUGGGGUUACACCAAGUGGGUAAUAUUUUCCUUGGUAGUACAGUGCUGCCCCAUCACACUUCACAAGGUCCAUAAUACUAGGGCUCUGAGUAACAAUUCCAGCAGGAGAGUCACGAAGAAGCAUAUCACACAAAAGAGUCUGGGUCCUCAGAACAUGCUUCUCAGACAACUGUGAAGCUAAUUGCAAUUCCAUGUUCAGUUGGAGUCCAAAAGCUUGCAUUAGGAACUCACAGGCAUAACGAAGUGGAAAUGGAAUGCACCGUGCAGAAGUGUGAUGGCAAACAACCAACCCCCAAAGCCUCGUAGUGCUCCUCCCACCAACAGCUUCCUCAUCGUUUCCAUUAAUAAUAACAGCCAAAGCCAAUGAAGCAAUCGACCCCAUAUUAGCCAUAUACUGAGCGUGACAACCAUGCGGAGCCCUAAGUGUUGAACCUACUAAACACAAAGGUUGCAUAAGCCCUUCAUCCUGAAUGACACAAAGUGGAGUGGCGUGACAAUCAACAAUCAUCCUAACCCUAUUCUGCUUGAAUAAAAACCGUGAAGCCUGCGGAAUAUCAGUAGCCGGAUAAUGUAAUCCAAAAUAAGGCUCCAAAUCAGGCCUUUUACUCUCAGCCACAACCUCACCAUGUUCAUCCUCAUGAAACCUAUACACCAUAACCCUGUCGUACCCGGUAAGCUGUCUCACACUCUCAACAACAGUAUCACACAACAAUUUAAUAUCCCCACCAGGAAGCGAUUGCAAUUGAGAAAUCGCGCGCACAGCCAAUUUCUGUGACUGCACAGCUCCAGCAAUAGACAGAGCAGGAUCCUCUGUCCUUGCAGGCUCUAAAUCAAUAACUAUCCCUACAUCGACCCUAUGCAAAAUCGCGUAAAAGGGUUUACCCGUGUUCUUCGAAUGAAUCCAAAUUGGGUUUAACAAAGUAAUUUCCCUAGCGCCAAAGGCUUUUUCAAGCAGAACUGAACUUGAUGAAGUGAAAAGCGUGCGUACGUCGGUCCCAAUUGUUAAAAUCUCUUGCUUCUCAAGAUUAGGCACAGAUUGUGGAGCUAAUCCUAACAUUUCGCCCGCGUUUUCACUGUAAGCAAUGACUCGAAAAGUGGCUUCAUCAACAGCUAUAGUACAACCAAAGGGCUGAAUAUGGCCACCCCUUUGAAUUUUCGACAAGUAAGCACUAAUUUGCUGCUCAGGAACUGAAUGACUCGUCGUUCUAACUGACUGUGAGUAAUCAAACGACUUACCGGACUCGCCCGACUGUUCAAACACAGCGUGAAGCCGAGCAUCCACUGUGUACUGAGCAAUGGCUUUGCUUACCGUCAUUGAUUCUGUGGCGUUGUGGUGGGCUCUUAUGUUGCUUGUGCCUGAAGAUUGUGCUGCUGAUUGACUUCUACGAUGCUGCUGCUGGUGCUGUGAAUUCGAAGCCAUUUCUUUUACUAUUUAGUUCUUCAGUGUUUACAGAUUUUGCAAAAUCCUCAGAUGACUGAACGUGAAAAAAUUUAGUAAAGAGAGCCAAAUGAUCAAAGAAGCAAGAUGAAAACAGAGGAUUUUUGUCAAUUGGGAAUUUUGGAUCAAAAAGUUGGAGGGGGUGAAAGGUUUAAGUUUUAGUGCUUUGAUACCCUAUGGCAGUCAGGUUGGUAUUAUUUAUCUAAUUGUCUUUUAAGUGUUUAAUUAAUUAUUUAAAGUAAAAUCCUCAUUAUUUAUUUUAUAUUUUUAUAAUUUUUAAUUUUUUUAUUAAAAUAAUUUUUUAAUAUUUAAUAAAAAAAUUUAUUGACACUUAAAUAAUUAAUAAAAUUAUUAAUAAAAUUUCUAAUUAAAUAAAUUUUAUUUAAAAAUUAUACUGAACAGAAUCUUAAUUAAUUUAAAAGGUUUGAUAUAUUAACUUAUCCUCCAGGCCUGAUGAAAUUAUAAAAUAAAAAUGUUGGUGUUUGUUGGUUUUAUUAGUAAAACUUGUAAUAAAAAUUAAACUAUAUCUUUAUUUGUGGAUUGACCAACAAUUAGGAAUCCAAAUAUUAUUAUGUCAAAAGUUCAUUUACCUUCUUCUUUUUCUCUUGGGAAGGUAUUUUAUUUAUUUAUUAUUAUUAUAAUAUUGUUUUUAGUUUGGGCACGUGAUUUUUCUUUUUCCUUUUUCUGAUCUGGAAUUAUUUGUGGGCGUUAAGAUAGCUACGGUGGUGGGAAAUGAAAGGGAACCAUUUGAUUGGCUGGCCCCUUGCCUCCGGUGUUGAGCCCUCACAGCAUAUAAUAUUUUAUUUGUUCUCUUUUUCUCCGCAUGCUGUUUUACGUGGCCAUAUAAUUUUUUUUUCCCCCUAAAAUUUGAAUUGAAUCUCAUUUUUUCUCAAGUCCAAAUGAAUUUAAAUAUAAUUGGCUAAAUUACAUAUUUAUUUUUUAAUAUCUGAAUAUAGGUGUUAUUCCGUUUAUUUUUAUAAAUAAAAAUAUCUUAAAUAUAGUAAUUUGAUAUUUUAUUCUUUUCAAACAAAACAAAAAAAAUUAGGUUUUAUAGUUUAAAAAAUAAAUAUAUUUAAUAGAGAUUUUUUUAAACAUAAUAUUUACUUCACAUUCAAAUUUUUUUUCAUUUAAAUAAAGUUAGCAAAAAUUUAUUUUUUUAUGUAAAUGUCUAAAAAUUAAACAUAAAUCACUAAAAAUAAAUAAAUUAAUUAAUAAAAUUUCAAACUUUAAACAUUUAACUUUAGUCUAUUCAUUUUAUAUUUUAAUCUAAAUAUACGCCAUCAUGAGCUUUUUUUCCCCCUUUUUCUAAAAGUUUUCUUCUUUUUAAACUUUGGAUUAUGAAAUAUAUUCGGCCAAUGCGCUCGUCUAAAAUGCUUCCACCUACACACUGUAAAAUGAAUGUUUGAGGCUCGAUCAACUAAGUAUCUAAUAAUAGAGUAAUGAUAUAGCCACAAAUCCUUGUACAAAUUGAUGUGGCACGAUAAAAUUGGUUGAAUUAAAUAUCACUUGACUCAUAUGAUUUAUUUUUAUUAAUUUAUAUUUUCAUUCAACCAAUGAAUUAAUGACACGUCAAGUUGUACAAAAUAAGUUUGUACAAGAGUUUAUGGCUGUAUCAUUACUCCUAAUAAUAUAAUGUUAAAUUAGUGUCAAAUUAUAGAACUAUAAUUGGUCAAUCGCCAAUGGAUACUUCUUCAGCGCUCAGACAUGUUAAAAUAAGAAUUUAAGUCGGAUCACACAUGCCUUCAAUCAACGUCUUCUUUAAUGCUAACGUUAGCUCUUUUUAAAUAUAUAAAUUAGGGCAUUAAUCAUAUAAUGCUUGGUGUUAAAUUAGAGAGUUUAAUACUUACAUUGAAGCAUUUUAAAUAUAUAAAUUUAGGUCUCAAUCAUAAUGAAUCGAGAGACAAAAUAACAUAAUCUAUCUUCAAAUCCGCCUUUCCAAAAUUACAAAUUUAGGAAUUCUCAAGUCUUUAAUUAUGGAAGGGCCUAAGUUACAUUAAACGUAACGGCCCUCUCACAGUAACGACGGCGCAAGUUACGUUCAACGUAACUUAGCGCUAGCCUUUUAAUUAUUGCAGCUAGUACAAUAAUCAUAAAGGCAUCGAUACACAGUAUAAAAGAGAGAUGGUUUUGUUUUUUUCACAGAAAAUGUCAACUUUGAUACCGGAUUUAAAACAAAAAACAAAAAAAAGGCGUCCCAAUUCAGUAAUUCACCGCUGAUAAAAGCACCGAUACUGUUAGAAAAUAUGGACAAAAAACUUGGAUAGAUAGUGUAUGUCUUUGUAAAGCGCCGUACCUUUCAAAAUUUCCACCAGCGCAUGAAAUGCCAUAACACACAGCGACAUUUGACGCUCUGAAAAGCACAAAAUGCAUUCCAGGCAACGUGACGCCCACGUGAAUAGAUGAUCAACAACAUAUUAAAAAGUAGAUUCCAUUACAAGAGCAUCAAUGAUUUAACUCUCCAAACGCUUUACAUGGAUUCCAAUGAAAGUUUUACAUAUAUUUUACUUUAAAAAGAUAAAUGGAACUGCAUGCUAUUUUAAUUUAAAUUUAUACAUAGCUAUAUCAUUCGCAAAAGUAGAACGAUUCCACGCGUACGGAAUUUGUUGGAACAUCUUGGCUCUUACUAAAAGCCGUCCAUUUCUAAUCAUGGUGGCUAAAAAUUUUAUUCAAAUAUUCAAGAAUGGAGAGAUCCUUAUACAACAAUGCAAGCUCUGCAUCUAGAUUUUGAAACAUCACUUCGUUCAAUUAAUGAUCUGAGAGUCGUAUCUUGAUGAACUUUCAACUUACAGACCAAAGUUUUCGGCUGGUACUUCAAAUUACAAAAACAGUAAUCUAAAAACCCAACAACAAUUCCAGCAAAAUACAGAUUUAAAGACUUCAAAAGGGAAAAUGUUUUGGAAAGCAUGUUGAUUAUGAUUUCCCACCUGUUGCCGGGAAGUGAAUUACUUGGUGUAGAGAACAUCUUCCCAUGGGUGACGGUAUAGAGGUUGUUUCAAUCUCUUCUGGUCAAAGGUAUGCCUGAGAUUUGAAUGAGAAGCAAUAAGUCAGAUGCAGGAUGUGACGAAAAAGAGGGAUAAUAUACAGAGAAACUGCAAUUUUCUCUAUAUCUAUGAGACACCAAAAUUGGACGUCAGAAUCACAGUCAAGUAAUCCCAAAGUACCAGAUAGCAUAAGAUUAAUGGAACCGUUCAUUUUCCGUUGUGAAGAAGUUGAAAUCACUAUCAGCAUGCAUAGCAACAUCCUAAUCUACAAAAGAAGUCAUCUGACCCUCACAGCAUCACAGCCAAGUGCAACAUAACUAAACACCCUAAACAUAUCGAAAGGCAUAAAAAAGCCACAUUGCUAUCACUAUUCGUAGCAAGAAGCAAUUCCAGAUAAGAAUCAUUGUGGUAACAAACACUAGAAACCAGAAACUCCAAUUUUCAUUAUUUUUUGUUCUCUUGAUAAACAAAGUCCUAUCCCAAUAUCAACAGCAAAGUUUUGCAAAGAAAGCAAAAGUUAAGCAUAUAGCCCAAAUGAGCUUAGAAAAGAAGUGUAAUUUUACUUACCCAAUCAAACCGAUGGAGCGUGCCAGAACAAAGAGCCCAUUCAGAUAUCCAAUUUCCACUAUCUCAUCGAUUUCUUGCUUGCUGAACAUUCCACUGCCAGCAAGAAGAUCCAAGAAAAGGGACCCAAUUGCACCAUCUACAUUAAGAACCAGGUUGUUUGCUUUUGAUAGAGUGUAGGUUUCAACUUGAACAGCAUAUUCCAUAUACUUCACAGAAGGGAAAUGAGUGCGUGCAAAUUUUUGUAGCAGCUCCACUCUUUUGUCUCUGUUAUCUCCUCUCUUGAUCCUUUUUCACAGAAAGCAAAUAGCAUAUCAACAUUGAUUUACAAUUAGCAACUAAUGCAUGAACAUUAAAUUUCAUAGAUCCAAGAUUUAAUAACACCUACAUACCUGUGCCCAAUUCCUGGCACACGUAUGCCCUUCUUUUUCAUUGAUUCAACAAAUUCAUAGGCUGAAAGACCCUGAUAAGACAGCAAAAGAAUAAAAUUUCAGAAUCUAGAAACUAUCAGAGCAAUCAGAGUAUUGCUUAAUCAUCUCACGUAAUCCACUAAACUUUACCCGGUCAUAAGCAUCCUUGAAAUAUCGGGCAGCAUCAUCAAUGGCGCCACCAAAUCGGGGACCAAUUGUGAGCAAACCUGUUUCAGAACCUCAUAAUUUAGUUCUGUCGUGUCAAUUCUCAAAUGAUAACUAAACUAUAAAUAUUUUUAAAAUGGGUGGGGUUUCCUUGACUUAAAUUUUUUAAUUGGAAAAAUCAUGACUUAAUUUGUCAUCCAUUGGAUCCAUCCAAUCCAAUAGUAGAUGGAUGAACACUUACAUGCAACUUUUUAACUUUAGAUCCACACCAUUGGAAAAGAGGAUAAUAAAACCAAAACCAGUUGUUUACCUGACACGAGGCUGGAAACAAGAUCCUUUCCAGCUCUUGCUGUCACUAUAGUGUUGUGAGCACCAGAAACACAGGGGCCAUGAUCAGCGCAUAACAUUAUGCAUAUCUGUCCAAGAUAAUGUGUAUCAUAUCUGUCCAAGAUAAUGUGUAUUAAUGGAAAAAAAAAAAUGAGCACCAUAUACUAUUAAUCAUGUGCUUUGACGCUAAUGGGGAAAAAGAGGAAUAAGAAAGCUAAACUGAAUAGAACUUUCCAUAGUACUUCAACGGUAGAAAUUCAAAAAAAGCUCUUCAUUGACAAUGAACCUACCUCAAUAAAUUGGGUACAGUAGCGGGGAAGGCUGCGUUUAAACCACAAAAGGGAAAUAACAUCACCCACACCAUAACCUUGUUCUACAAUUGAAGACAUUGGUACACCAGCAUAGCAUGGCUCCUCACCUACAGAUUAGCAUAAAGAAGAAUUUAAAGUUAUCAAAGCCAAACACCCAACUGCCGAUCAAAUCAAGACCAUAAAAAAAUAAGUACCUCUGUCAUCAGAGAUGGUUGAAAUAAUAUGAGUUGGAGCCCGUACUUUCCCACUCUUAAUGGCAGUGUUAAGAUCCUCAGGGAUUUGUGGUGGUGUAACUUCCUUCACUGGUGGAAUCUUCCCCUCUUCAACCUAAGGUAAAAUUCAUCCAUCCACAUGAAUAAGAUUAGUUAGGCAGCAUUAAAGAAAUUGUAGCCCUUUUGUCUUCCCUUGGUGGGAGAGGAAGGGAAAGGGGCAGGGGCAGACAAAGGGUCUUAGAAACUAACAAGUUUCUCAAAUGUCUCCUUAAUUGCAGAUUCAAAGGCUUCAUAUGAAGUAGGAACAACAGCUCCAGCAUCCCUUAGUGCUUGAUUCUUUGCCUGAGCAGACUCCAUCUCACCACCACUUUUAGCACCCUGAUUUAGUUAAUGACAAGGAAGAUUAUGGAUAUGCAGGCCUCAAGUUAAGAAUGCUAUGGUAUUGAAAAAUUAUCCAGGAAAACUUGAGUAAUAACUUACAGCAUGACCAAAUUGCACUUCUGAUUUGAAUAGUCGAGCACAGGUUCCACUGACCCAUGCAACCACAGGUUUGUUUACCUUUCCCUGUUUCAGAGCUUCAACAAGGGAGUACUCAUCCCGUCCUCCAAGUUCACCAAGAACAACCAUCAUUUUAACCUGGGGUCAGCCCCAGAAAAAGACAUUAGAAGGAAGAGAAAAAUAAGAAGAAAACAUUAUGUGCAAAAAGACUAAAGCAGAAAAAGCGGUAAAAAAAUUCUUAUAAUUUUCUUCAAGCAUGCCCUCUAGAGCAAGUAAACUGAAUUAAUUAACAACUUCAAGUUGCAAUAACACUUCAAAAAAUCAACAUUCACCACCAAAACAAUGUCUAUACAUACUACUUGCUACAGGUAUCCACAUGGCUUUGUCAAGACAUAAUUUUUCAUCAGGAAACACUCAAAGAAAUAAAUAGAAACACAAAUUUACCUGUGGGAUGUUGUUAAACCGCAAAAUGUGAUCAGAAAGAGUGGAGCCAGGGAACACAUCUCCUCCAAUUGCAAUACCUACAGAAUUUUGAAAAAUAUCCCCACAAUAUGUUCAAUCCUAAAUCAUUUUAGGCAGGCAAAAGAUGGAAUAAAGAUGCAUGCAGUGUACCUUCAUAGAUUCCAUCUGUUACACGAGCAAUAGUGUUGUAUAGUUCAUUAGACAUGCCACCCUGCAAUUGUCAAAAGGAACAUUAUUUGUCAAAGGUUCAAUCAUAUGGCAUAUUCAAACUAUGCAUCUCAAGAAAAUUACUGGUCAUAAUAAGAACUUAAUGAAUGGGUAGGUUCCAUUUUGAGCUCUACAUACAGACAAGCUCGAUCUCACUCGUCAAAAUUGUGGGGCAAAACUGUUACAUAGUCAACUACAUUGAAGAUCACAUGAUUUAUGUCGAGAAGGCAGUAAAUGAUACUCCAAAGGUUAAAGCAAUUUAGAACCUCAUAAAUGCAAGCAGCAUAUAGAUUUUUACUAUGAGAAUAUAUAAUCAGAGUGAUUAAAGCUAUCCAAAAAGAAUGAGCUUUUCCGUAACUAUUUCAACCAAAUUAGUAAAAAUAUGGACCAGUCAGUUUACUACUUGUUUCCCUCAUUAAAAUCUACUCUUUUUUAGGCCAUAACUUAAAAUGACUGAGCAAUUUCAAAUUUAAGUUUUUAGAUUCCCAACUGAACCAAAUGAUAAUGCUAAAGGAAAGAGUACAUACAGAUUUGGAGACAAAACCAACAGAUCCAGGCCUGUAGAGUUUGCAAUGAAUGAUGUUAUCAAUGGUUCCGGCUGUGUCACCUAUCUUAAAAGCUCCAGCUUGAAUUCCUCCAACAGUUGCUGGGCCAAUAACAACCUGCAAAAUGAUCAUUAUUAAAUUUUGUUACAGGUUAACAAGACAGGUAAUUAAUCAGUAAGGAUGACUACUAGUAUUGAAAUUAAGAUACAAGUUAAUUAAAAUAGCUUCAUAUUAUUCUCCUCACCUUGUUGUUAGACCGAGCGUAUGCAAUCAAUUGCUUGGUGUCUGCCUCAGGCACACCUUCGGCAAUAAUUGCCACUACCCGAAUGGUUGGCUGUUUCAGGGCAGCCAUAGAUGAGGCAGCCGCACUGCAAUUAUAUUUAAAUGUCAGACUGAUGUAGUUCUCACAAAGCAUUCAAACCAUGAUAUUAACUAACAAAUGAAUAUUUACCUUCUAAAUGAUGAAAAGUUGAUGAAAACAUCAGCCGUUGGAUGAGCAGCACAAGCUGCCUCAACACUGCAAAAUUUUAAAAAUACAGGUUAGCAAACUCAAAGCCCAGGAAUAUGCAACUUCAGUGCAAGUAUACUGCUUCAAUUGUUAGGCUAACAAAUUUGUAAACUAAAUGUCCAAACUGAUAUAAAGCAGUGGACUGACUUUAGCAUAAAUAGACCAAUUAGCAAUGUACCAUAAAAUUGACUGACGGAAUUCUAAAGAUUUCUGCUCGUGACAUCAAUAUUUGACACGUAACAUGCCAAAAAUGCUCAUGACCACAAGUAUACACUGACCAAACUGUACUUACAAUUUAUUAUUCUCACAUAAACACAAGAGUAUAAAAAAUAACAACACCACCAAGUUUUCACAAAAGAGUAAAAUAUUAAAUAAAUUGUGUGAGGAUAACGAGUACUCCACAUUAGACGGCCUAGCUAAAUCAACAGGAAUCAGCUUUCUUAACACCGAAAUAAGUAAGAUGUUUUACUUAAUAAUACAGAAGUGACAGAUUCAUAUAAAUAGAGAAAGAGAAACAUAAUCUUACGUUGAAUGCACAGGAAUGGCAAUUUCCUCUUGUCCAAAAAACAAUUUCUGAAAUCCCUCAGCCCCAGGAUUUAUAAUUCCGGCAACUGAAGGUGUUUCCCUCCCUAAAAAUACAAUUUCAGAUAUUCAAAAUAAUGCCACACACCAUCAAUUAAGAUAAUGCGGUUACCUUAUCCAUAUUUCACAUACAUAAAAUUAAUAAAAAACUGCAUUUGCAUAUCAUACACACCGCAAAGGAAAUCAAAAUCAAGCAUCCGUUGGAUUGGAAGCUGCUUAUAGUUGUAAAACAAAGCUUGUGUGGUUUUUGAAAACAGCUGUCCUGUAGCCAUGGCGUGACUAAUCGCUGAAGACACCUGCGAUGAACAACACAAUUCAAUUCUGUCAAAUUUGUAAAAUUAGCAAGUGUGAUUAG